Molecule: long non-coding RNA, 74005 nt
Filed under: Vitis vinifera (wine grape)
Lineage: Eukaryota; Viridiplantae; Streptophyta; Magnoliopsida; Vitales; Vitaceae
Description: long non-coding RNA (VVIN_LNC006947)
Source: RNAcentral
CCAGACAACAAUAGCAAGUCUGUUAGGACCCGAAAUGGCCAUCACAACAAACCAGCCGCAGAAGGAACUUCUGGCCCUGAAACUUGGGGUUUUGGAACAGAGAGUUUUACAGCCACCCCUGCUGCCGGCUCUAAUAUUUCCAGACCCUCCAUUGGAGGCAAUAAUGCCCAGCUGUUUGUUGAUUCAGAGAAUAUUAAGGGCAAGCUGGCUACUCAACCUGCUGGAUGGGCUGGUUCCUAACUUAUUUGGUGAGGUUAUAUCAUCCUUGGCACUUCUGGUCACAAGAGAUGAGAAUAGGUAAAAAAGCAAAACAAAAAGGUUGUUUUCUUCUUGAUUUUUGGCUUGUCUUAGGUCUUGAGCCCAAACAACAUCCACUGUCUCUUAAGACCAUAAAUGGUCAUCAUAACAUUUUAUUUGGUAUUGAAGUGGUGUCAGGUAGAGGGGUGGAUUCUUCAUCCUGGUUUUAUGUUACUGUUUUUAGAAAAUUAUUAGUCAAAUGAGUUUUUGGACUGUCUUUAGCUAUUUUCAACUAUUUUUCCAUAUCUUAUCUUAGAUCUAAAUGCAUUAGCUGGACAAUCGAAUGGUGGUUACUUAUCUAACAGAUGUUGUUUUUGGGCUUCUAUAUAUAAACUUUUAGUGUUUCAUUGAUGUUUUUAAUCUUACUGCAGAAUGAAAGAAAACUCAACCCUCUCAUCCGUAAUUCAGAACCAUUUAAAGCCUGGCCAUGGAAUAAGCUCAAGCCUUUCUGUACAGAGUAGCUGGACUCUCUCAAAUUUUUGAUUUGUAAAUAUCCAAAGGUAUUUCCUUUUCCUUGCUGAUUGAUAGUUGUUGACUUGUUGAUUAUCCUGAAAUUCAUGUUUGCCUCCCUUCACACAGCUAUGAUUUCAAAGUCAUUAAAUGUGCCAAUCCCCGUCAACCUCAAUCAGUGUGUUAGACUGUUACCAUUGAUCACCUCAGUCCAAAAGACAUUCCAUUCAGGGAAGAGGAAAUAGAAGAAAAUGGCAGCUCUUGAUGUAUUUUGAUUUUGAUCAAGGCUUUCUUGAUGUAUACUCUGAUGUUUUGCUCGAAUUAAUCCUGAUGAUUUUCUUAACUGGAAAGGUGACUUUUCCCAGUGGAGGAAUUGGAGGAAGGGGAGAUUCCUGGGUGCUGAACUAUUGAUGUUCAUUGCUCUGUUCAAGAAGAACCAGAAACAGGAAGGGGAGAUUCCUGAUCAUAUGUCCUCUAAGGUUCAUCACUUUAGAAUUAUCUCCUGAACAUUCUGAAAUAUAAUUUACUCAUCCAGGUUGAGCUCUAAAAUUAUGGUAAUGGUUAGAAAGCAAAGCCCUCUUCCAGAAUUUAUGGUCUUGUCAUUUUGUUUUCUCUCCAGUGUUGAAACUUUCCCAGUCUUACAGAAUUUUGUUGUUACUCUAAACAAUGAAUAGGAUUCAUUUAUACAUUAAAUCGAUUGAAGAGAUUUGGAUUAUACAAAAUAGGAAUGAAGUUAUACAUAGAAACCCCUAGAGUUCUUGUAUAAAUGCUAUAACAAACACCACUGAAAAUGCAGAAUGAUCCAUUUCUGUUCCUUAUUAUUUAGUUUGAAGGAAACAUUGAUGAAUCCCUUGCUUUGCAGAUUGAACCCUGGCAUUGAGCUGAUGCUUCAUAAUGUGUUAUUAUAAGAGACAUAGGCUGCCCGAGUUGUCUGAAUAUACCCCAUAGUCCCUCUGAUGCCUGUGAGUGUUCUAGUCUGGUUGCUUAUCAGAAGCUUUCCCAGUCCAAGUUUGCAACUUUGGCUGUAGAAGAAUCAUCCAAGAGUUAUGUUCUGAGGGCUUUAUGUCACAAUGGAUGAUCUGUUUACUGCAUUCUUCAUGUAGGUACACAAGUCCUCGGGCGCCUCCAGAAAGGAAGCUUGAUAAAGAGCCAUUGUGCAUAAAAAAAAAACACCAGUAGUCAGUGUUCACCCUCACAACAGUAACGCAGCAAGUGUCCUUGAUUCUUAUGGUGAGUUUGGCCCAUCACAUUCACUUCUGCUUUGAAUUCUUUCUCAUCUUCUCCCACCACCUUCUCCAACUUUUCAGCAACAGAAUUUCCAGAACCUGAUGGUAAUAUCCCUUUAUAGACAGUGCCAAAGGCUUCUACCAUCGCUUGUACUCAGGAUUCUGUGAUAAAGCUGCAGAUUUUUGAGGUUCAAGCAGUAGAAAACUAGAGAAAUUGCAGCCAGAGAAAUGAAGAAGAAGAACACAGAGGGGCCUAAGAGGACUGAGUAUUAGAAUUGCUUUAUUUUGGUUGCCUCUGCCUGAAGUUAGUUCACUGGACUUCAAUAUCUUGAUUAGAGCACUUCUGGAAACAGCAGUUUGAUCCAACCUCCCAUUUGAAAGAGGUAGUCUUUUCCUCCAACAGCUUCCAGUUCCAUUUGGAAACCUCAGGUCCUCAAAAAUAGCUACUGCACAGUAGGCUCCAACACCAAUCCCUGGGUUGGCAACUCAGGUGCUUGAAGCUCUCCCAUACACUGGUAUGCAAUUUCCAUCUCCAAGCAUGGCACCAUGCACUGGUUCGCUGCUCACAUUACCAGUCUGUCUUCCAUAUAUCUUAGCCUCUGGAGAACAAGCUGUCUAUUGGUGGUAAACCCAACUUUUGAUCCUCUUGGCACCGGUUAACUACCAUUUGCAGUCCAGAUAGCAAGAAGGAAUAGGUCCUCUUCACUUGGAGAGGGUCGGAAUCCAAAUGCAAAAUCACCAGAAAGGCAAAGCCCAUGUGGAGUUUUCAUCAGUGGCAUAAAGAGAUGAACCCAAGCUUAUAUUACUAUAAGCUUGGCUGAUGAGUAACAAGUAGAGGUAGAGAGACAAUGUAAGUUAUUACGUGAAUAAUUGGUCACCCGACUGCUUUUCUCUGCAUGUUGAUUAAGUUGAAAGAGACUAGCGAAUAUUAUUUUCUUCUAUAAUGAACAUUCUCCUGUAAUUGAAUAGUGUGAAAGCAAUUUUUUCUUCUUCUUCAACAAAUGAAUAUUGAGAGCAUAGAAUUACAGUAAGUGACAGCUGAUAAGAUGUCCUACUAUUGAAUCUGACAUAUUUCAGAAGCUCUGUUGUCUUCUGCAAUAUGUUGAUAUAUAUCAUGCUCACCAAUUCUCGGAACAUUUUAAACCUACUCAAGCUUUUCAAACUCAUCCCCUUGAUCUAGAUCCUUCCAGGGUGAUAUAUAUCAUAAACAUAUAUGAACCUGGCAUGAACAUUCAUCUGCCCAGAUAAAACCAGAUCACAAAGGAGACGUAUACUUCGCCAAUCUCUAAGUAUAACCAAGGAGACAUGUACAAACCAAACAGCUUAUCCCCAUGAAAGAACAAUUCCUAAAACACAUUGAGUGGGAGUUUUAGGUCUUUAUCUGCAAUUCGACUCCAAGUUUUCAUUGAGAACAUUUUUCUUUCCUUAGUCUUUUGAAGCUAGUGAUCUUGAUAAAGUCUCUACAAACCAUGUUUGGGGGUCAUUGUAGUGCAAACCAAAGUGUCCCCAGUUAUAUGAAUGUAGGCCACCACAGCACCAUAGAUUCAUGGAGUUUCGAAUGUUUCUGCAAUUUGGAUCAAAUUAAGAUGAAGUUAAUGAGCUUCAAGAUGAAGUACAACACACUUUUUUGCCAUUUUUUCUGUGAUCAAAAUAAUGGAGUUCGAGUUUUUCCUCCUGGAGUUUGGAGAAAAAGAGAGAUACAAGAAGAGAGUGAUCUUCUAAUUGCUAGCUGUAAAGGUUUAAUGGCAUUUGUCAUUUGUCAAAUGUAACAUUCUUGGCGCCCAUUUGGAUGAUGCAGUUUGACAUGUAUUUGUUACAUAUUUUGCCUUGAUUGAAUUAUGAUUAAUCAGCAUUGAACCACCACCUAGUCAUACCCAUCCUGAAUACUAUUAAAACUCAUUCGAUUUUCUAGGUCUUAUAGGGUGUUUGGUAAUCAGUCAUUGACUUAAUAACUUAAUUUAAUUAUUAAAUAUAUUAAAUAUAUUUGAUAAAAUAACUUAAUAUUAUAUUUUAAAGUUACUUUUAAUUUUAAGUGUUAAAUCAAAAUAAUUAACUUAUUCUUAAUCUCAUUUUUUUUUUCAUUUAUCUACAUCUAGUUAUCAAAUUAAUGAAGGUAAAUAUGACAAUUUGAAAAUUUAAAAUGAUUUUUAAAUUAGCUUUAUCAAAUAACUUUAAUACUUAAAGUAAAUAUUAAAUAAUAAAUUUUAAGUAAAUAACUUAAAUAUUAUCUAACUUAAAGUCAACUUAAGUUAUUAAGUAAUAUAUAUUAAGUUUUAUCAAAUAAGCCUUAAUCAACAACUUAAAUAUGGGAUCUCCUCUACUUAGCAUUGCAAUUAAUGUUAAAAUUCUCUAUUUAUUUAAUGACAUAUAAACUUUUAUUAAAUAAGAAUAUUUACACAAUGUGUAUAAAAAUAUUUCAAUGAAGUUUGUAUUAAUCAUUUCUUACUAUUUUAUACUCUUGAGGUAUUGAUUAAUAAGGUCAAUAAUUUAAUUUAGUGUAAUUACUCAUUACUUUAAUUUUCCAAAAAUAUGACAAAUUAAUACAUCUCAACCAUAAUAUGAAUUUUUAUAUAUAGAGUACAAAUGUUCAUACAAUAUGCCAUCUUUCAAUGAAUCUAAUUCAAAAAUGUAGUCUUAUCUUAUGAUUCACACCUUCUAAUCUUUUCUUAUUAUUUUAUAUUUUCUAGGUAUUAAUUAAUGAGAUCCUUAAUCUAAGCAGUUUUUUUUUUUUUCUCUGUCUAUAUAUAUAACAAAUCUAAUCAAAUUAUGUACAUGGACAUGUAGAGUCUCUUUUUGCAUCAUUUAUUUUAAUUAAUGUAACAGAUGUGUAUAUCUUUUUUUGCAGAUGUCUAAGGGCUAAUGGAGUUGUGUUUCAUACUAGAGAUAGAAGGGCGACAAGGUUUAUUUUUCACUUUAUUACAUGUACAUUCCUUUGACAUGGCUUCGAGUAUACAUUAAGCCAAGUCAUUUGAGUUGAAAUGCUUAUACAAUACCUAAAAUUGAAAGAUACCUAAUUUGAUAUUCCAUAUCGAAUAAGAAGAAAUUCAUGAUAUUAUAUACAUAUGAGUUGCUCUUAACCAUGUGGAUGCAAUUUAAAGUGAUGAUGAUCCAUUGAAAUUAAAGCGGAUAAUGUUUACACAAUUGGAAGAAUCAUUAUACCCUGGUGUCACUUAACUAUUGAGCACCAACCUAAGCAUUCCUCUAUUAACUUCACAACAAGAUGAGAACAAAAAAUCAAACUACCCUAAAUUUCUUUCUUUAUUUUUCUUAUAUCCUUUGUUUGGUUGUGGAGAAUGUGAAGGAUCAAUCAAAAGUUUUGGCAUUAAUUUUAUAUCCACAUUAAUUGUUUCACUACCUAAACUUAAUAACAUAUAUCUAUAUAUAUAAAUGAUUUUUAAGUUUUAAUUUCAUUUCUUAGUUGGAGGAUUAUAGCAUGGAAAAGUAUUUAAGUAUAUAUUAGAUGUUGUGCACAAACUCUGGUAAAUUAAAAGUUUUUUACAAUAUAAUUAAUUUUACCUUUAAAAUAAAUUAAUAUUAGAUGAGUAAUUUAAUAGGAUGAGACAAUUAAAAAAAAUAAAGAGGAGAAUCCAACCAUUUAAUAGUGUAUGAUAUUCAACUUUCAUACAAUAUUUUAUUAAAUAUCUGAAAUGUAAGCCAUGUAAUUAAUUUUGUUUUUUCUAAUUUUUGUGGUAUUUUUUAAUCCUCAAUUUCUAUUGAAUAAAUAAAAAUAUUGAUAACAAUUAAUAUGACAACAUCUCUAGACUACCUAAUGUUGUUGUCAUUGUCAUGUCCCAAUUCAGAAAUGUUAACCCGAUUGCCUUUCAAAGCUCGCACAUUGUGCGUUGUUAGACGGGCUUCCCCCGUCUCUUAAGAUUGACUAACCCAUGUGCAUGUGUUGUUCACAUGGAACCUUCCCAUCACAAUGAAAUUUCAAAGAUUACCCGGACCUGUCGGUCAAGGUUAUAGACUCGUUGAAUACAUUAGUGUAACGCAUAUGUGCCUAAAACAUCUAAUGGCAUCACAGACCUAUUAUCACCUCAAACUUCAUUGGCCUAAGCGAUCAUGGUCCCUCUAAGAAGCUAGCUAUAAAGGUUCACCUUCACAUAGCUAGUUAGCACUCCUUUUAGUAUUAGUUUUUUUUUUUUUUUUGGUGUUUUUUUGGGUUUGAAAAGACUAAAGAGCCCAUCAUAUGAUGACGUGGCACUACAGUAUUGUUGGACGCACAAAAAGUUUGAGUAACUGCAUAAACUCCGAUCUACAUGUAAUGCAUGCAAAAGAAAAUACAUGCGACAUGUCUAAAGCCCUCCAGUUUCCACACUAAAACCUCUCCUAACAAAAAUUAGUACCCAAAACACCACCUUAAAGAGUGGGCCAUGCCUUAAAAUCUGGAGGGUAGUUUAGGUAUUUGAGAGACUACCACAAAUUUAGUACCAAAAAUACCCCCAAAAAGAGCGUCAUGCCCUAAAAUUUGGAAGGCUUUUUUGGGAUAUGUAGAGAAUAAUGUGGGCUCAGCCAUGGGUUGUCUUUUUGUAUUAAGUAGAUGAUGCUUUGUAAAGAAGAAUCAAAAGCAAAAAUGGUGAUUAGAGGGUCUCUUCUUGUGUUAUUAUCUGCUAUUGUUGGAUCAAUGGCCCCAAAUAUUUCAGAUAUUUUGUUCAACAUGCCAUGUAACACCUUACAAACUUCCUGUUAAGUACAUUCUUUAUUGGCAGCUGUCAUAGGGAAAUAUUUUAGAAACUUUUACUAUCUUAUAUUUAGCCUCAAACAUUGUGUUAGCACAAGAAUCAUCUAGUGUGUCGGAAACAACUCUGAUACCACUUGUUAUGCGGAGACAAUUGAACAAUAAACAACAAAACAACAAAAUAAACCAAAAAAUAACUAACGUGAUUCAAGAAUGUGCUUACAUCCAUGGGAAGGGAAGAAAUCAACUCACUAACCUAAUUUUUCUUUGCUUUCCAAGAGCCAAACCAAGGCUAAAUUUAUAGAAUUUCCCUUUCAAGUUAAGUUACAACAUCAAUUGAUAGCUUACAAGAGGUCAACUCGAAUAUUUACACAUAAGACUCAAAAAGACAGUUUUAAGUAAAACAAUAUUACAAUAGAUGGAAUACUCUUAGAAGAUUUUAGAAAUACCACUUAUCAUCACCUGCUAUUAUUCCAUUUGACACAACACUGCAUGAUUGGGAUGCAGAAAACAUGCAUCUCCAUGCAACAUACAUAAAUUUGGUCUUGCGGGGUUAUCUACUGUUCCUAUGACGAUAGUUUCUGGGAGUGAAUAGAUUGCUUUACUCUAUUCCUAGAAAAACUAACCACUAGAAGGUGUCAUAAAUUCUUGAAAUUAUGGGAUCAGAAAUGGUUGCACAUGCAGGUUAUAUUUGUACAAUAAGAAGUUUGAAAGAGUAACUAGUUCCAAUUGAUUGUUACCUCUAAAAGUGUUCCAAACCCAGAAGGCAAUAGCUUGGAAAGACUUCCUUGGGAUAAUGGAAGUUUGUUUGCUUGGUUGAUAAGAACUUAUUUCCCCGUUCACCAGUGCUGGUCUCAAGACCACAAGCAUUGCAAAAUGAUUCCACAUCUAAUUCCUACAAGAAUGCAAAUGAAGUCUUCAAGGUUCAAAAGAAAUUGGAACUUUGGAUGACAAAUUUUAGCAAUUUAAUGCUAGUAAAUGCAAUCAUACCUUCAUCAUCAAGAGUUUGGACAAGUGUGCAAUUGGAUAUGGAUGAAGUUUGUAGCCACAAUAAUUUACACAUGACAAUGCCAAUGCUCGAACCUUUUACGGUCAAAAGAAAACCAACAAAAAUGUAUAUAAAUCAGGCAUGUCUUUUAGAAGCACUAAAAAAAGGCAGUUGAGAAGAACUUCUAAAUAAGACCUAGUUUAUGAAACAAGCUAAUUGAAUUUGAACACUUCAGAUGAAUGAAGAAAGUGAGGAGCAAUAAACCACAUAAAGAAACAGUUGGUGAGAAAUUUAACAAUAAUGAAGUACAACUACUAACAAAAAUGAAAGAAAAAUAAAACCCAAAAGCACAAGUACUCGAGUCUAGAUUUGAGAUAUAUUCUCAGAAAUGAAACUGAAAAAUAAUAAAUGAACAAAGAAGCAUAUAUUUUUCAAACUGAAAAAUCUAGCAAAAUCAACAUAUUUAAGCAACCUCAUUGAUGUAAGGUUCAAUAAUGUAGUACUGCAAAUAAGAUGCCUCAGUUGCUGUAGUACAAAGGAAACGCUUAUAAUUGCCCAUCCGAAAUAAUCUGUUACAAGAAAAGACAAAUCUUUCAGUUCAUGAAAACAAAAAUUUUAACAUUGGGUACUAAAAGAAGAGAAAAAAAAUCGAUUGAAAAUCGAAUCUAUAAUAGCUUUGUGGUCACCUUAAAAGUCUUCGGGCAAAACACAUUUCCUUUGACUUCAAAAUGAGAGAAGGUACACGACCCAACCACAAAGAGAGUGACUCUCCCUUCAGAACAGAAAUAGUAACAUAUUCAGAAACCAGUACAAGGCUACAAGAGAUACUGAAAAAGAUGAACUCAAACAAACAAUGGAAGCAAGUAUCCACCAAUGGUUGGUUGUUAGAGCCAAGAUGAAGAAGAACGUGAAAUGAGCAAAACUCAGGUUCAUUCUUGUAAAUAGAAUUUGAAUUUCGAUUUUCUUCGUAUAGAGCAUAUAGAGAUAUCAGACACUUUUUCAGCUGCUCCAUAUUGAGGUAAUGAACUGAAGAAAAAUUUGGCUUGUUGCUACAACUGCGAAGCUUGUGGUGGGAUAUAAUAUGAAAUUUCACCUAUAUUAUGAAACAAACCACAAGUCAGAACAUAAGAUGCGGCUUUUAGCUAACUCCAAGGUUUUAGGAUGAGAUUAAAAUAUCUAAUCAAUUAUCAUAAAAAAACACAAGUCAUUCAUAUGCAUGUUUCUUGUGCAUUCUAUUGCUUGGCUAAAAUUGUUACUGGCCAUGAAUUUGUUCCUUUGCUUCAAGAAUUUGAAUCAAAAGUGAGAGAGAUAGAAACUAUAGAAAAUUUUAAGGAACAAAUUGAUGGAGUUCUUGUUAAAUAAUUUCCUCAUUUUUCCAAAUUACUAGGAUAAAGAGAUAAAGGUUUAAAAAACUUUAAGAGGGGGAACAGGAAAUACAACUUUUGAAAUAUGGUUAAGAAACUUCUAUGAUUGGGAAUUAGGAGCCUUUUUGUAGGCAUAUUCUACAAAGUCAGCAAGUGUACUGGAAAACUUGACAUUAUGGAAGAGAGCAUCAAUUCCCAUCACAUGUGGUGUGAGUUGCUUUGGUUCUAUGGGUCUUUCAUAACUUGGAGGGUGACUGGAAAUAGACACUUAAUAGUGGAUAAUUUAAUUAGAACGGAUUGGAUAAUAACUAAUGUGCCAAGAAAGAUUUAGAAUCAGACCAUUCAUUUAUCCAUUGUAAAGUAGGCUUCAAGUAGUGUGAUCACAGUUUCACCUCAUUUGGACUCCACUGAAUAAAUUAUCUUAUUCAAUAAAGCAAAAGGAGAGGAUAAUGACUCAAUUAUUCAACAUUUUAUAUCUUGUAUACUUUGAUUAUUUUCUCCAACUAGGUGAGUGUUUAGCAAUGGGUUGGCUAACUUAUUGUAUGUUGAGGAGAUGAAUGCUCAGAAAAAAAAGGUAAUUGAGAUUAUGUUUCAAGAAAUUCAUACCAUUUCUUCAUACAUAUGAAUUGUUUGAUCAUUAACGAUAUUCUGCAUGCUAAGAUCUUGUCUUAUUGAUCUUGUCCUAUCAAAGACGAAAUCAUGAACCACUUCAAAAGGAUGUUCCGUGGCAUCCAACAGGUUUAAUAGGUAGUUCAAAGUCUCUUCCAACACUGGAAGUGGCCGCACAUCUGACGCCUACAUGUGCUUAGUGGCAAUGCUUCUGCAAAACUAGUGAGAGAGAUGGAGGGUGAACGGCCUUCUGCAUCAAAAUAUAGACAUUUCAUGGCAUUAUAAAAUAUCAAGGAACAAAUUGGAGAAAAAGAAUCCUACAAUUUAUAGCAUCUUCAUUUCUCAUGCAUCAAGUGUAUAAAUGAUUAUAAGCUAAGAUGAUAUUGAAUCAAAAUAAUAAAAAUGACAAGAGAUAAAAUCAUGACACCUAACAUAAACUUUACAAGACGUUGCAUUAUGAUAGAUUAAUAUUUUGCUAUAAUAAUGUUAUGCAAUUAAACAUAUGGAAGGAAAAUUAAAAGUAAUUAUUUUAACAACCUACACUCAACCGUAUAGAUAUUAUCCACCUUAUACUUAAGGGGCCUUCAUGACUUUAAAAUACGUUUACAAGGAUAAAAGAAGUCUAUAUACAUACAUACAUACAGACAUAUAUAUAUAUAUAUAUAUGUUAGGAACUUUUCCCCCUAUCUAAUGUAAGAUAUUACAAUCACCCUCUUUCUCAUGUAGACACAACGUUCUUGUUGUGUCCAACAAGAUUGUAGGGUCAAAUAAACGGACACCCAUUUCAGGCCAAACAAACUCUUCCACCAAGGUCGAGUAUUGACUUUGAUACCAUUUGUAACAACCUGCUCCCAAUUGUGUGGAUAUUAUUUGCUUUGAGCCUAAGCGACCCUCACGGCUUAAAAACGAAUCAACAAAAUUAAAAGAAAUUCAUACAUAUAUAGCACUAGAAACUUUUUCUUCUAUACGAUGUAGGAUAUUACAAUUAUACACUUUGACAAAGACAAAAACAACCAAAAGAACAGACAAGACAACAAACACUUAACAAUGAUUGAAUAAAGAUAUAUGUUUAAAAAACACAAAUACCACUUGUUUGAAGGCCUUUUCCUGAGUUCGAUUCCACACUAAUGGUAAAAGAAGAAACAAGAUAGAACCUAUUGUAGGCUAACUUGCCUUUGUUUUUUCCUUUUUCAUUAUGAAACAUAAACAGUUUUUGCAAAAAAUAUAAAGUUGAUUGGUGAUCCUAUAGCCACAAUUAUAAAGAAACAAAGAAAGCAAACAAGCAAAAUAAACAAAAGCAUCCCAACCAAGACAAGAAGAUUACCAUUUAGAAAGCAUAACACAGGCUACAACCUAGAGCACACCCAAAAUUGAAACCACAGGACUCCCAAGGUCAAGGGAGAAGCAAAAUUUUUACAAACCCAACAGGAGAGGUGGCAAUCCUUUUAAGCAAGCUAUUGUCUUCCUAGUUAACCUAUCUAGGACUCCACAAAAAAAAUUUGCAAUAUAAGCCUCUUGCUAGAGUCAAGAUCCAGAAAGCAUCUACUCGAAGCAUUAUUUUAACUGGAGUAGUUCAUAAAGCAUAAGUAAAUCAACAGGUUGCGGCCACCUAACAAUACAAGAGCCAACAGAAAAAAAGGAGCUGCAACUUGAAGAUUUCGCAAUAGGACUUUGGUUACAAUACCAAUUUUAGUGACAUGAUGACAAGCCUAUGAUAAUUAGCCUUAAAAUUGAUAUCAAGCAAAAUUUGAAGUAUCCUUUGAUGGCAGCAGGGAGUUGUGGUGUUUUUUUCUUGGUAUAGUUUCAUAAGGUAAAAGCAUAAGAGGCAAGGGGGUCCACAUCUUGCUACAAUAGGCAUAAACCCUCAAGGGGUUGAGCCGCGGGGCCUAAGCGCUCCCUAAAUUUUCAAUUUUACUAAAAAAAAUAUAAUUUUUUUAGCACAAGAAAAUAGAUAAUAAAUGAGUUUUUUUAAAAAAACUAUAGAAAGGUUUAGCCUAUUCCAUACAUUUUAGGAGCAUUUAAUACUCAUAGGAACAAUAGAUUAAACAAAAAAAAAAAGAAAAGAAAAAAAAAAGUUACAUGAUAAUAAUAGUGCAACAACAAUUGAACAAAAUAAAGCACACCCCACAAUAAUAAGGAAAAAUAAAUUAAUGGUGGCUCCAUCAAAUUCAAAUGUCACUAAUUCAAAAAAUUAAAAAUAUAAAAUAUAAAAAUAAAAACUAAGAAAAGAAAACAAAUGAGAUAGAUGUAAUAUCAAAUAAAAAUAUUGAAUAGUGAAUCAAAUGGGAUCAUUAAAAUUCAAACAAUAAUGCUUUGCACAUCAAGAAGCAAAGGAAAAAAAAAAAAAAAAAAGUUUCAGCAAAUGCUUGAUCAACAACAAACACAAAUCCAACAAUAGCACCGAUAUAACAAGGGAAAAAACAAGUUUUCUACUAGAGAAACUAAAAAAUCAGUUUGGCAUAAACCCUGUAACAGAUCAAUAGCUUAUUAGCAUAGUCUUACUUUACAGUACCAUUAAGAUAGGCUUUGGUGUCUAACACAGAUACAGGUCAUCCAACACAAUCACAUCCAUAACAAAACAAGACAAGAGAAGAUAAAACAAAACAAAAGCACAAGUAUCAGUGCCUGAAUUAGUGCUCAAUAAGUGCACAUGUUGAUGGCUGAUAUGGUAAAGAUGAUUCAAUAAGAGUAUCAUUGUCCGAUGCAAGAUGAGAAGCUAAGAUGCGGUAUAGAGGCAUGAGAUGUAGGGUUUACCUUUUUGACAGCAAGGCUUGGAGAUGUUUUCCCAGGAUUUCCAUGUAACCUCUCAAACACAGCUAAGUCCCAAAGGCGUUCACGUUGGGCCCUUUCUCCAGCUAUUUAUUACAAAUGAACAUCAGAGAUAAGAGUUGUUAAAAGAAAUUACAAAGUAUAAGCUGCUGAAAUAAUUAAACAACUUCUUUAUUAAUAAUUCAUAUGAAGCCCUUGAAAAUUCAAUAGCAAGUAAUGUGAUUGCAGAAAUCCUGAUCAAAGAAUCAGAAUAAACUCAUCAGGAAAUAAAUACAAGCAUAAGAAAUACACAAUUUGAGUAAAUAGAAAGGAGUAGACAUAUAAAAUGCAAAUUAGCUAGAUCAUGGCAGCAUGGGUUUCAAAACAUUUUAAUUUGCUUGCUUGCAAAGAGAAGCAUUAGUCCCAUCGAGUGUUUUUUCUAUUUCAACCUAUGGAAUAAGAAAGGUCUUAUGGAAGCAGGGUCGUGUAAUUUGCUUUCUACUAUAUUAGUGGCAACCAACCUGUAAUAGCAAGAAAGGAAGAAAAAAGGAAAAGAAUGGUAUGAUGUAGUUGUGAGACUGCAUACUUAAGGAAUUUAGUUUAAUAGAAGAUGAAUGUGUUUAAUAUGAGAGUUCUCUUGAUCACUAAGCAUUUGAUGCAAAAAUAUCCCAUAUAAGGAGUUGUGCAAUCUAGAAUACAAAUACUUUAGUACCAUCAUCUGGAUGGUAAAACCAGAAUAACUAUGCUCCAGAAGCAUAAUUAUACAGCUGGUAGGAACAUGAUGCACAACCACCCAAAUCAGCAAGACAAAGAACAGGAUAGAACUUGUUGGCACAACCAAAACAGGACGAAAUCCAUAAUAAAGUCCUCAAUUACCAAUCUAUGUACGACACAACACCAUUCAGAAUGCUACAACAGAUUCACAUUUGACAGGAGAGUUUAUAACUGCCAAUGGAACAUUACCAAGUAGCAGACAUGUCUUAUGUAGUUUGGGGGGAAAAUGAUUCCUAUUAUCUGUGUCAAGACAAAUACCAGCUUCGGAGAUUCUAAUCUGGUGAAAAUCUCAAAAUUUUCCAUAAACGUAAUCCUUUGCAUCAUAAUUUGUUAUUUAUUUUAGUAAGGAAUCAAACAAUCAUUAAUGGAAGAAGAAAAGAUAUACUAGCAAGCUUGAAAAUUGAGGAAUUUUCAAGAAAAAUCGAAGAAAAUUACAUCACCAAAAAGUAACAUCAAGGGGCAUUGGCCAAACCUAUCCAAAAAAGAGACAACACUGAACAACCCAACAGCCUACUGUAUAGCUCUAGCUAAUAGAUCUAGGUUUUGCAUACUCCAUAACAGAAUAAAGUCCUUCCAUCAUGUAACAUAAUAUCUCUUUUUUUCCUUAUAACAAAUGAGAAUUUAUUGAGUUAAACAAGAUAAAAAAAGAGGGAUGAUAUGCAUGUAUGGCAAGAAGAGAACAGAAAAGCCGCUCCAUGCCUCAAACCAAUCAAAGAGCGGUAAGUGUUCUCAAUAAAAAAUUUCAGAUAUUAGCAUCCCUAUAAGAAAAAUAUAGCCAUGCACCUGGCUAGCUGAUCUGGGCCUCAAUAGAGAAGAACAAGCAAUGUCUCUAGCAUGAUUAUGAAGCCACCCCAUCUGAUGAGCAAUCCACUAAGGACCUUUGCCUUCAAAGAAGGUUCUAAGACAAUAACAAAGGAAUCCCCUUCAAUAUGGAGGUUCAUUACAUCCAGGCAAACAACCAUGUCCGAAUCUUCCUCGAGUGCUAAUCACUCAGCUUCAAUAACCAUUAAAGAGUCUGCAGUUUGAAAAACAACCUCAAAAUAUCCAGUCCCUUUGAGCCAUCCAGGUUCAAGGACCUUCCCUAUUCAAAGUAUGUAUCAUACAUGAAACCCCAAUCUAUGUGAUCAUAAACUUCCUCAAAACCUAUUUUAAAAACCAUCUCUUCGUCCUUAGAACAGAAUUUUUUAUCUAGGAUUUCAUUACUAAUGAUAACCACAUCUAGAAUUUGCCUUCCAUUAACAAAAGCCCCUUAAGCUAGAGAGAUGGCACUAUUAAGAAACUUUCUAAAGCAACCCAAGGGUAAAUUGGAAGUAUUCUCCUAAAAACUAGUGACUGGGUUGACAGGUAUAAAAUCCCAAAUCAAGUUGGAUCCCUCUUUCUGAAGAUCAAGAUAAUGAAGCUGGAAUUGGUGCUUCACAACUCAGUAAUAGUUCUUCACUCACCAAAUUUUUGUGAAGGAACUUUGGGGUGAAGAAGUAUCAGUGGUUAUUCAUUACCUCAUUAAUGUGAAAGUCUUCGAUUACUUUUAAUCUUAAUGAUUUCCCAAAAAUCUCGUUAAACCUCAAAUCCACAUUGAGAAGACAUGAGAUUAGAGGCGAUAAGCUCAAUAUCUACCACAAGCUGAAUCCUACCCAUUCUUCUAAGAAAUCUGCCUCUUCAUUUUCACAUUUCAAAGUCUACAAGAAGGUGACCUCCACCAUAGCAGCAAUAAGCCCAACCUCUCCAUGCAGCUAAGGGGAUGGACUGUAAAUUCAUUCUGUUGCUCAUACUUUUCUCCUAGUAGUCCUAGGACGUGUAGCUUAGCAAUUGCAACAAAGUUAUCCUCAUAUCCUCUGACCAAAACUUUCUCACAUUACCCAACUUAUCCUUAAAUUCCAUAAGUAGUAAUUAUGAUAAAGUUAUCCCCAUAUUUUUUGACAAAAUUAUUUUGCUUUUAUGACACUGAACUUUGUAAAACAAGUGCUUAUCAUUGUUAACUGGAUGGCCAAUCUGAAGUUGUAAAUCAUUGUUCUGAACAAUACGAACAUUUUUUGUCAAGAAUCACCCUAGCACUUGGUGACCAAUGCCAGCAUUUUUUGGUCAAGAACCAGCCAUACAUUUGGUACAUUUUCUGGAAUAGGAAAAAUGGUGUCACAAUAUUACCUUUCACACCUUGGCAUAAAUACCUUUCAAGUUGUGUGCAGACAUCAUCAGCCUGUCAUGGGUGAGUCAUCUGCUGAGAAACUGUUACUAGAAGUUGGGUAAUGAAUCACAGGAUUGUGAAAAACUGGUCCAUCAAGUUAAGCUCUAUCUGUUGCAAGGUCAAAAUCAAAUGGAAAUGUCAGCAAAUGAGCACUGUGCCAACCGGAAGAUUGCAAUUGGCAAUUGGGGUUUUCUCUUCUCCCUCUCCUUCCUUCCUUCCUUGUGGCCAUACUGCCGAAAUUCAGUGGUGACCAAAUAAUGAAACUUGCCUACCAGUUUAUGGGCCUUAUCAAGUUCUGGAACAAAUUGGUACUGCAGGCCUGCAGCACACAAGUCAAAUCUUCCUUCCUCAGCCCACAUCCACCCACCCUUCAUGCUUCCUAGUUCAAAAAGAAGUUGGGCUCUGUAUGGGGAGAAUACAUCAAUAUUCAUACGGUCAUGCACUCCCCAAUCACUUCCAAAAGUAGAGUUAAGGUGACCUAUCCAUCCCAUCUAAUUUUACAGUACAAAAUCAUGGUUCACAGAAGUGCUUCCAAGGCCUAACCAGAAAGUAAAAAGGUAUAAAAAGCCUUCAUCCCUACUCAACAGGUAACUGAUUCACAUUAUGACCUCUCUGUUUUCUCUUAUUUGCUCGGGAAAUUAAUAACAGCAUCAGAGAGCCUUUGGUCAGUGUCACACCAGUAUUCAGCCAAUUGCAGGUACAUAGGAAAGUCCAUAGUUUUCUAGGCUGAAGGUGUGGUAUCUGAUUUUAAUCCAUUCAAGCAGAAGAAAUAAUUAUGUCAACAGGCCUCUUCAUUGCCACCUUCAACUGUGAAAGGCUAUUUGCAACUUGAACUUAAAAAAAAAUCUGAUGAUGAUUAGUACAACAAUCAGACAGUCACAAUGUUCUCAUUGACUGGAAGAACUUGCCAAUUGCCACAUAAAUGGACUUCUAGGAGGCUAUUCCACUCAGAAGCAUGUCACCAAAGUUCUUGCCAUGACAACAUAGUACUAACUUUGGGGAGGGGAGGGGAGGGAGGAGGAAACAUAAUCUUCCAAUGCAUGUUCCCAUACAUGGAAUGAACACAUACCAAAAGACUCCAUAGUGUUCAUCUCUACUCUAUGAUUAUCUACAUUGUGAAAAUCUCUAGCAUCACUUGUAUGUCUUUGGGUAUAACAUGAACAAUUUGCAUCCUUUUAGCACUCCCUAAUGUAAGGAUAAUAAAUAGAAUUUAGUCAUUUAUAAUCAAUAUCAACACCCUAUGCUGAUAUAGAGUGAAUUCCAGAUAUACAAUGAAAUUAUUCUCUGAACAUGAUAGGCUGGCCACCAGUCUUACCAGAAUUUUCCUACCAUUUGUACAGAAUAGCACAAGGGUUGUCACAUCAGCAUGUGGAACCGGUGGCAUAAAAGGCAGCAAGACAAGAAAUGUCCUUAUUUUGUUCGUAUGAGAAGGAGAUAAAUCAAUUUGGCCAUAUAUGUGAGCAAAAACAAAAGAAAUCCCUUUCCCUUCUCAUGGAGCAAUAAUCAUAAACAAUCAAAUUUCUUCUGGAGUCUUAAGAUCCAGUAAUUCAAGUUUUCAACACCAUUUGACAUUAGAAUAAAUGCUCUACUCCAAAUACAGUGUUUGAUUACAUGUAAACCUGACAUGGUAAAGGAAAAGUGAUAAAAGAGGUGGUAAGUCCAUUUUCCAUUAUAAAAGAUUUGGGGGAAGUAAAGGCAAAAGCGAAUUUUUUUUUGGGAUUCCUACAUCUUCUUCAGAUUGGUAUCUAAUAAAGGGGGGAAAUAUCAAUUUUAUUUGUAAAAUUUAUGUAAAGCCACAAAAAUGACACAGAAAUUCCAGAUUCACUUCUCUUUUCUGCUGUUUUCCUCCAAUUUCUCGGAAACCAAACACAGAAUAACAGGAAAAUAGAAUUUUAAAAAAAUGGAAAAAUAAGCACGCAUUUUUACCAGGGCACAUGAAUGGGCAAGUUCCAACUAAGGAGAGAAGAUUGUUCGGAUCUUGCUCUCCUUCCUCCUCUUGCUCUGGUCUUUGUGGCUUCCCACAUUUGCUUUUCAAUUGGUGAGCAUCCUCCAGGGAGUUACUAGUUUUUGGGGGAUUCGAGGAGAAUUUCUCUGAGCGGAAGCUCGAUGAGGAUGAAGCUGGAGAUGAAAAGGCAAAAGAAGAAGCAGAAGGGUUUCUCCGUUGCCUCCGGUCCAUGACGGCUUGUGCUCUGGUUUCAGCUAGGACGAUCCAUUUUGCCAAGAGCAUUUAUUUAGAUGAUGAAAUCAAGUGCAUUUUUUAGAUUGUAUCCUAUAGUUCUCAUAUAUUUUGUGGUGAAUACAUGAAAGUAGUUAUAAAACAUAAGAUAGCAAUAUUCUCCGGUCUGGGCCUACUAGCCAAAUGUACUCGAUAUUAUUGGUAAACCGAUUUAAUAGCCUAAAGUGACUUAAUAAUUUAAUUUAAGUCAUUAAAUAAAUUAAACAUAUUUAAUAAUAAUAUAAAAUAAAAAAUAAUUUUAAGUAAUAAAUAUAAAUAAUUAAUUUAUUUUUAAGUUCAUAUUUUUAUUUGAUAUUUUUUUACCAUAAUUUGUCUCGUUACCUCUAUAUCUUUUACUACUCCAUGACAUCCAUUGUUAUUUGAUGUCCUUUACUUUAAUUAUAAUUUAUGAAAAUAAAUAUAUUGAUUUGAUAAUUUAAAAUAAAUUUUAAGUUAAUUUUAUCAAACAGUCUUAAUAAAUUUCAAGUUAAUUUUAUCAAAUAGUCUUAAUAUUUAAAAUAAGAAUUAAUAAGUUUUAAAUUAACAAUUUAAGUAUAAUUUAAUUUAAAGUCAACUUAAAUCAUUAAGUAAUAAAUAUUAAGUUUUAUUAAACACCUUAGUUUUUUUUCCAUCAUUAAUAUCAUUUAAUGAGAAGCAUAAUUGUUUUCGACCUUUAUUAAGUAUUGAAUUACUUAUCUUGUUUCUAUUAUUAUGGUAACAUGUCUCGUCUUAUUUCCUAUUAUUAUUAUAGUAACAUGCCUCAUAAUAAAUCUAUGUUUAUGGUCCAUUUCAUGUGAAAUUACUCUUUUUCUCUUACUAUAAGAGUAAUUAUAAUAUAAAUUAGAAAUACUUGUGUCAAAUGGAUAAGAUGAUCCCAAUAUUUUGAAAAACAAUCUCCACUUAUUGAGUAUUAUAAUUAUAACCUCAUUUUAAUAUAGCUACCCUUAUACCUUUUUUUUUUUUCCAAUAAGUGUUCGAUUGUGAAAUGUUGAUAAAACAAUGGAGGGUAUUUUUGUCCAAAAAAUGAAAUUUAUUGUUUUUAAAAAAUAGAAGUGAUUCUUAUGAAUAUGUAAUUGUUUUAUCCUUUUAAAUUAAAUAAUCUUAUAAAUUAAGGUUGUUAAAGUUAUGUCAUACAUGGUAUUAAAGUUGAAAGAACAAUUUCCACGUUAUUUAAUAAUAGUAGUAGAUUUUUGUCAUAAAGGGGAAAAAUAACAAUUUCUCGUUUGGGAUUCCAUUUAUUCUCAUUUUUUUCUUCUAAAUUUAUGAGUUGUGACAAAAAUUAUUUAGAAUUUUGCCCUCGCCAUUAAGGUUGAACUAAAGUCAUCACAAAGAAUUAGGCAAGGAUUUUAGAGCUUCUAGGUUCAAGGUCAUUAGAAAAUGAGGCUAUUUUCAAUUAUUCAUUGACGCUACAUACUGGUUGUUACUACCACUUUAGUUUAUGGUUUAUUUUGUUCAUUAUGUCUUUUAGAUAAUAAUAUUAGUUUUAGAUUUUGUUUGAAUUGGUUUUUGACAAACAAAUUUUUUUUCUUAAAACUUAAUUAAAGUCUCUAUUAAGAAAUUUUGUUACGAGUACUAACUUACGAGUUAAAAAGUGCUUAAUAUGAAAGUGAAUGUUACUUCCCCUAAAAACUCGAUUUUGCCUUCUAUAGAAAUUCAUAUUUACUGAACUAUAUUAGUACUAAUAUGUGAAUAUUAGUCUUAACUAUAACUUUGUGUUGGGGUUUGAAAGUUGAAGGUUUGAUCCAUAAGUAGUGGACCUUCUUUUUUAGUUGAAAAGACUAGUUUUUAAGCAAUAAUUAAAAUCAUAAAAUGGGCAAUAACUAAUGUGAUAACUAGACUAACAUGAAAAGAUUCUUGUUUGACAACUAUUUUCAAGAACAAUUUUCUAUUCUUCAGAAUAAAAAAACUAAGAAAACAUGUUUGACAACCAAAAACCGUUUUUUAUUUUCUGUUAUAACAAAAUAAGGUGUUUUCAAAUAACAUCUUUUAACCGUUUUAUGUUAUUUUCACUUAUUUUUUAAGGGUUGUCUUAAAAAAAUAAUUAUAUAAACAUGUAGAAUGAUUAAAAAUAAAAUACUAGACAUAAAAAUUAUUUUUAAAACAUAUUUAACAAUAUUAAAAACAUGUUAAAAAUAUUUUGGGUUUCCAAACAAACUUUUGUUCUACAAAUUAAACAUUAGAGAAUAAUUUUCAAAAACUAUUUUUCAGAAUUAUUUUUAAAAACAAUUAUCAAACAGGCCUUUAAACUCUAUUUUUUUAGGAUUGUUGUAUAGUGUAACAAUUAGAGGAAAUGAGAGAAGUUUUCAAAAAGAAAAAAAAAAAAAAAGGGGGGUUAUGUAAUAAAAGCAAAAAGGAGAGUUUGUUCUCAAAGUUGUAUCUUUUUGGGUUGUCUUUCCUUGUAUAUUGUUGACUUAAAUAUCAAGGUUACUCUCCAUCAUGUUUUGAAGACUUGUAUGCAGAGAUUUCUCCAACUUUUAUAAGCUUGACAACAUGCUUGUUGUGUGUGUGUUUUAAAUUUCUUCUUUAAUAUUUGUAAUACCAUAAGUUUCGAGUUAAAACACUAUAUAGAUCAUUGUAUUCCCAUUUUUUAUUAAUAGAAGAAAGUUACUUCAUGAUUUUUUUUACCUCCUUUAAUUAGGAAGGAGUUUUCAAUGAUAUAUUAGGUAUUUUUUUUGGUUUUCUAUCAUUGUCAUUGUCUUAUUUGAAUGCUAUAGCAAGUCGGUUGAAGAGUGUUUAUAAUGAACUAGAUUUGGGAUUCCAGUUUAGCUUUGCAAACUAGGUUGGGCAUUUAAUUUAAUCAUGUAUACUAGUCCAAAGGUUGUGUGUGUAUCAUAAUAAAUAAUUAGGGAGUCUAGUUAUAUGACUCAAUUCAAUAGGGCGUUGAGCUACAUUAUCUAACUUGAACUAGUGUCAAGUUUGACAAAAAAUAACUUUUUUUUUUGUUGGUUUUGUUCUUUUAACCUUAUCAUUUUAACUUCUAACUUGAGCUAAAAAUAAUGUUAUUCCAAAUAGUGUCUUAUCUACUAAAGUAACGGACUGUUUUGGGGUUAAAAGUUUAAUUGUUAAUAAAUUUGAUGAUGUUUUAUUGUACAUAUAUAUUUUUAAACAUCUUUGAAUGCUAUAAGUCAAAAGAAUGAGUGUAUUUUUGUUGAUGAAAUCAAUGUUUUAGUGCAUUAAUAUUUUUAAAUAUUUUUAAUAUGGAUUAUUAUGAUGCUCAUAAAUGACCACAUGAAUGAAGUUUUUACUAACUAGAGGAACAUUUUUCAGUUGAUAAGACCAGUUUAUUUAAUAGGUCACAUAGAGGCAUAUGUUCUUACAACAUCAUAAUGAACAAUAGGUAUUAAGGUUAUGUAGUGUUGUAUGGUUGCAAAAAAUAUGGUGAUCAUUUCAUUAACUCAAUCACAACCAAUUGGAUUCAUUAUAAGAAAAAUCAAUCAAUAAUGACACUUUUUACCUGUCAAGAAAGACAAACAAUGUCAAGAAAGACAAACAAUGACACUUCUCCGCAGUGUCAUCUCUUAGCUUGUCAUAAUAAGUUUCUACAAACAGUUACACUUCUUAAAAGCAUGAAAUCAAGUGUCAUUGUAAAGAGUGUUUAGCGAUGUUGACACUUUUAAAAGCGUCAUUGUAAAUAUGGAACAAAUAAUGAUGUUUUUUAGAAGCAUUGAGGCGUACCAAUUUGCCAAUGUUAUUGUUGAUUUUGUAAAUAAUAACACUUACAAAAACUGUUAUUGUUGAAGAUGAAAUAACCUUGACGCUUUUUGGAAGCAUCAUCGUUCACCUUUUCCAUUGUUGAUUGCUCUAAACCUUGACACUUAGUGGAAGUGCCAAGGAUUGUGACAAUCUAAAGUUAGCUUCACCUAUUGCUCUUUUAUUUUAAUUGGCAUUUGAUAUUGAAAUAACACAAAUAUAAAGGAAUGACAAUUAUUUAUCCAUCCAACAACUAUCAAAUAAUUAAAUAAAAUUAAAGUAAUUAUUAUUUAUCUAUCCCAUAAAUGAAGUGCUAAGAGUAAUAAAUUUAUAAUAUAAAAGAGAAAUCACAUUGCAUAUUGUAUAUAUGAGUAACACAAGAAGUCUGAAAAAAAAAAAAAAAAACAUAUCCGUAGCUAAAACAAUAACUUCCUUUGACAUGUUUUUUUAAAUGUCACCCAAUUGUGCCUUCAUCUUUAAUGGAAGUUGUUCAUUUCUUGAAUUUUCGUCAUAGCUAGAGAUCAUCUUCCUUUGUGCUAAAAUGCAAUGGUGACAUUCCUUCCCUUUCAAAUUUUCUCACUUUCUUAGGCUUAGUGAUUUCCUAAUCAAUUAAUACAACAAUGUUCCAUAUAAGUUCAUGUCAUGAAAAGGUUAUUUGAAAAAAAAAAUGGAAAUUAAUAAUAUUAUCUUUCAUAAGGUAUAAUAAGUCAUUUUUUUCUUCAAUUUGGUUCAAAUUGAGGUGCUCUUAGAUAAAAUUCAUCUCAACUAUAAGCUAAACUAGCCCAUAACAUAUUAUUAAUUGAUUGAAAACAAAAAAAAUAAAAAUAAAAUAAAAUAAAGUGAGAAUUUGAGUUAGAAUCUAAGAUGUGUAGGAGUCAUUGUAAUUCUAAUUUGUGAAAUAAUUUUUAAGAUGUAACAAUAAUUAUAUGAAGUCACUUAGACUUCGAAUUAUCCAAAUUUGUAACAUAGAUAUUAUAUAUAACCAAAAUUUGUAUAGUAUAUUUAAUUAACUAAAUGUAAGAUAUGUUAUUCCAUAUAAGCUAGACCUAAGGCAUAUCUUUGUUCAAUAUUCAAUCUUGUGAAUUAAAUAUACUCCAUAAUAGUCCUUCACCUACAGUAUAUUUUCAGUAACCAUGAAGGAAAAUUGGAAUCGAUUAUUCCCAUGAAAUGGGUAAUCAAGAUCGGUGCAAACAAGUCAACUACAAAUAGCUAAUUAAACAAUUAACUUGGAUUUCAACUUUCAAUUUCAACAACAAUAAAAUUAAAUCAAAUACCCAAAGAUCAGAUACAACAAACAAAAUGGUAGACCACACCGGUGAACAAUUGCACCAUACUUUCUCCAAAUUUCAAACACAAACCCUAAUAAGAAACUCUAAUGGGUAUAAAUGUGAGAGAGAAAAAAUCAUCAAUUUGCAAUUAAAAAAAUUCAAUUUUAAUACCAACAAAAAAACACAACACACCAAUUUUAUACAAAUGAAAUUCAAUAACAAUGCCUAUGAAUUCCAAACUUGAAUAAUUCUUGUGAUUUUGUGAAAUGUUCUCUCUCAUCUUUUUUAUUUGGGAAGGCAAAUGUGAGGGGUAGUCUUUCCAAUAGUGUAAGCUUGUCUUUGCCAAUAUGAGAAUCAAGUGAAUUGAUUAUUUCAGAAUUCAAAGGCCUCUUAUAGGAGGAUGUGUUUUGAUUUGAUGAUGAAAUUUCAACCCUAUCAUGAUGAACGUUAUAGAAUUAGAGGGUGGAAAUGUAGAAGAACCUGUUAAGCUUAUCAGACAAAGGCACCAUGAAGCAGUUGAUAUAAUUAGGAAAUGAAAAAUAUAUGCUACCUUUUCAUCGAGAUUGAUCUCAAUGCAGGAGUAGAUUAGCUUGGUUGAACUACGCAAUACACUAUCAACAACCAAAUAGUUAAUACCACCUUCAUUAAAAUUGUUGAGAACCCAACAAAUGUCUAACUCCUUGGUAUGAUAAUCCUUUGUGAUCCUCAUCAUAGUCAUCGAUAUCUACUUCUCAACAUCCAUGAUGGUUAGAAAAAUAGGAUUGGCAUUUGCAGAGGAACUUUCCUAAUUGACAAGGUCAAUCUUUUUUAUAUAUACCUUCCUUGGUCAAUCUAUUGGUACUUUCCACACUAGCAAGAUUCAUUGCUUAGUAAUUUCUAAUUAACAUAAACAAGUCUAAACUCUAGAUUUUUUUUUUUUAAGUUCCCAUAUCUAAGAUGCAUUAAUACAUUUUCAUGAUGUAAUUCUCACUUUAUGGUGCAUUUGUAGAUUUCGUGAGUGCACUAAUAAGGACUGGAUUUUGGGAGUUGGGGUUGACACUAGGGGAAAAAAGCUUGUGAACUCAAAGAAAGGACCCCAAAGUUUUGAGUAGUCCAAGAUGAGCCUUGACAAACACCUUGAGUAUGGUAGCAUGUUUGUCAAAAAGCAAGAGAAUGUGAAAAGAUAUCAUGCAUGCAUGGUCUGACACACCAAACUAAGCCUUACUAUGAACCAUAAUGACAUUUCUCAAUAACAAAAUUUAUGUCAUUGGGUUUUGUAGUUUUAGUGCCAACAUCAAACUAAUCAACUAAUUUAUGACUUUCAAUUCAAGAUGUCACAUCAAUUAUCUCUUAAAUUUCAAGAACAAAAUCUAAGUAUGUAAUCAGGUCUUGUAGUUUUAGGGCCAACAUCAAACUAAUGAGCUAAUUUAUGACUUUCAAUUUAAAAUGUCACAUCAAUUAUUUAUUAAAUAAAUUUUAUUAUACCCAUUGUUAAUCAUAUAUAAUAUAUAUGCUAAAAGGGAGAGUAUUUUUUUCUUCAUUAAAAAAAAAGUCUAACAAAUGUAAGAAUGGAAUAUUUUAAAUUAUUUUAUUCAAAAAUAAAUUGUAGAAUAAAAAAAAAUUAUUAAGGUCCUAUUUGUUUAGAUGAUUUUCUAUUUCCAUUAUGAAAGAAAACAAAAAUCAAACUAAAAACAAGUUAAAGGUUUUACCUCUAUCUGCAGCCAUAGUGUUGCCCAUAACUUGCUCUUUAUGAUAAAAAAAAAAAUUGCUGCUUCGAGUUCUUUAGGACAAACAACUAUAUUUGCUAAUCAAUAAAUUGUGAGGAUUUAUACCAUUUGCUAAAAUGAGAAGUCUCAAGUUUCUAGGUUUUGAAACAAAGUUGGGCCAUUUAUGGUCAAUUAGCCAUGAUAGAGAGUUAGUUGGAUGACACAUUUUGUCAUCUAAAUCUCUUCCUUAGGUAUGCCAUAUGAGGUCUUUUAUGAUUUUUGAUGAUUGAAACCUUCUUAUAAAUCUUGGAAUUGGAGGAAAAUACCACAUUACUUUCCUAGGAGUUCCCGUCUUUUAGUUCCUAUAUUAUCUACCUUUCACCUUGAAGUUCCAUAGAUAGGACAUGAAAUGCAUUUUUCAACUUAUUCUUGUAAAGUAUACAAUCAUGGGGCAUGCGUGUAUUUUUUCAUAUUCCAUUCCUAAUGUAUUCAAUGUCAUUUUUGCCUUAUACAUAGACAAGGGUAACUCAUUAUUUAGAGGCAACAUAUAUCUACGCAUUUUUAAAAGCUCUGAAAAGCUUUUAUCAGACUACUCAUAGUGUGUUUUCAAGUUGUAUAAUUUAACCAAUGCAAACAAUUGUGUGAAUUUUAUACAACUAGGAUAUAAAAGGUUUUUCAACAAUUUGAAGUAAUCUUUCAAGCAAUUUUAGGUCCUUUUGACAUUCAACUUGUACAGCUUCAACCAUUUCUAUUAUACUAUCUACAUCAUUAAAUUGAACCAUAUUAUAAUGUUCUACCCUUCUAGUUGGUGGUUCACUUGGAGUUGUUUCCCUAUGCCAAUACCAUAUAUGGUAAUUCUGAUUAAUUUUAUAGAAAAACAUAUGCUCUCUAAUCUUUUGAGGAAAUCUUUGAGGAGUAUGAAAUAUCAUAUUACCACUCUAUAAGCAUGGACAUUUAAUGGAGUUUUUAUAUGUAGAAUUUUAUAUUGCAAAUGUGAUAAAAAUGUUCUACCCCAUCCUCAUACUCCUUUAAUCCUCUAUCCUUUGAAAUCCACAAACAAUCCAUUUUUUAAGAUCAAACUUUCAAUAGUGAUCAAACUUCAAAUUGAAGAAAAUAGCAACAUUUUCUAUGCUAUUCUUUUUACAACCUUUUUUUUUUUUUUUUGUUCAAAUAAUAAUCAAGAAAAUGUAGUUCAACAUUUGUUUAAGAUGCCAAAUUUAAAAGAAAAAGAGUAAGCAUUGUUCUAACCAUUUUGAUCUAUGAACAUAGAUCUACACUUUUGAAAUAUCACGCUAAUUAUUUACAUUUUUAAAAGUGCCAAGGAAAAAACAAGGUCAUGGUAUAUCUUAUUUGUAGUAGUGACUAAUAAGUUAUAAAUGUUGUUGACCAUGAAUACUUGCAUUAAAAGGGAUGUAUAACCUCAAUAAAACUAGUUCAUAUUAAUAUUAUUAUAUUGGGUUUGUCCAUGACCUUUGCAUCAAACAUUGUCUAUACCUAUUUUCUCAAUAAACUCCUUAAGCGACACAAGAAAAUCAUUUGAGUAUGUCAAAUUUUGAUGCAUGUUUUAUGCAUUCUAACAUCUCCAACAUCCUAAAUUCGAUAGUAGUUCCUAUCCCAUAUAGAAAUAUAUAAUCUCUAUGUGUCAAUGACCAAUGUGGUCAAUUUCAUUUUAAAGAAAUUUUAGUAGAAUUUCCCUAUAGUUCUCUAAGUAUGUAAAAUGGACAAGGCAUACUAUGCAACUUUAUCCAAAUAUGCACCCAGAGAAUAAGAGGAAAGACUACCAAAAUUUAUAAAAAUUGAAUUAAGAACAAUCAAUUAACUUCAUAGAUAUUAUGUUUUCUACACUGUCUAAUUAGACAAUUCAAGUAUCAUUUGUGGGGAAAAGUUCUUUAUCACAUGAUAAACAAUUUAAAAGUUGUCAACUUGAAACUAGCCUAGAUAAAACCGUUUUCACUUUUUGAUAACUUAAAUCUCUUUAGUAUGUAAUAAGAGAAACUUUUGUCUCACAAUGAUGCCAAUGAUACUUGAAUUGUUUCAUGCAUGCCUAGUUUAUUAAAAUUAAAACACAAUUACUUAUUGAAAUAUUAUAACAAAGAAACAUAAAUCUCAUUAUAUCAUGUUUAUCUCAAAUAUAUAAUGUUAAGAUAAAGCCCUUAAAAGCAUGAUAUGAUGUAAUAAAUUUGGAAUUCAUUGUUUAUUUAAUGAUGUUCCAGUUUCACUUUUAUCUAUUCUUAUUCUAUAUAUUAUACUUUAUGAGCAUUAUUGUCUGCAUUUUUUGUAUUGUACGUGAUUUAGGUGCAUUAGGAGUUGCACAGAAGAUCUAAGUCAUGGGUUCUUUGCAAAUAGAUGACUUUUUCACAACUGGUUCAUAGGUUUAGGUAACCCAUUAAAGGUUGUAGUGCACCACCUCCUAAUUGGAGGGAUCACUGAUCUUGGUUAUCGGGAUGGGUUUCCCAUGGUGAGUGCACUAGUGUGUAUGGUUACACAUUGGACAAGACCUAUGGUGAGUCAUGACUUAAGGCUAUUAUUGAGUCAUGACCUCACCAAGUUGUUUCAUUGUGUUGUCUCUCAACCUUGAGAGAAUAUUGAGUUUGUGCUAAAGUUGGCAAUGACUUUGACCUACGGGUGAAAUCAUAAGUUGAUCAUAUAUUCCAUAUGGAUUAGGUUAUUGUUGAUAGAAGCUAGUACUAAUAGGUAUUUUCAAUAGAGACACUAUGAUAUCUCUUGGGAUUGAGACAAUGUGUCCCCUUGGGUGAUCUUAAGGAGGUAUGUUCAUGGAAACUAUGGUCAUGUAGUUCAUUAAAUGGAAGUUGACAUAGGCUAUUUGAGAACUAAGAUAUGUUAAUUGAACACAAAAUAGGAGGUAGAGGUAGUCUUGAAAGACUAAUAGCUUUCACCUUAUUAAACUACGGACAUUAGUUCAUGGGGAAAUUGAACACAAUGGAUAGCAAGUCACAGACCUGAUCACUUAGUGUCUUGUUGUUAUUUACAUAGGAUAUUGGACUUUAGUUGAUUCUCUGUAGUGUGAUAUUGAAUCAACUUUAGAAUUGGAUUUUGAGGGAGUCAGUAUUUCUAUGGGUCCUAAUGGUCUCCGCUUUGAACUCAUAUACCUUGUUGGCAUGGGUUAUGAGGGUUGAAUUGGCUCUAAGUUCACUUUUGUGCAUAAGGGCAUUUUGAUAAUUACGCAAGGUUGUGUAGGGGUAAGUGAACAAGGUCUCUUGAUUGGGCUAAUUGAUUAAUUAGUAAGCCUUAUUGGGUUAAUUAAUUAGUUAGAACUCAUUUUGGGUUAGAUUAAGUGACCCAAGUCUGUAUGGGCUCAAGUCACUUAAGCCCACUUAGGAACCCUAUAAAUACCCCCUAGAGGUUAGGGUUUCCAUGACUUUUAUCUUCCACCAUCCAGAGAGAUAGAGAAAUAUAGACUCCACCCUCAUUUCCUCUCCAUUGGAAGUGUGCCAAGAUCAAGGUUUGAGUCAUCGGGCGGAAGACUCGGGAACAUCCGAAUUUGAGGUAUAGUUUUUGUUAGCACUUUCUAGAUCCUCAUAAAGUAUAAAAAAAUUAUUAUUAUUUUUUUGUGCAUAGAAUUUAGAAAAAGCCUAGGAUAGUUAUGCAUAUUCCUAACCUGAUCCAGACUGAGGAAACAGAGAGAUUCAUAUUUUUUUUCCAUCAUAUAACAUUUAACAUGGAGGCAUAAGAACCUUUUUCACAAGUUAGAGUAAUGUUUUCUAGAAAAUAAAAGAUAUAUUUCUACCACUUACAAUGGAAAGUCAUAGGUUUGAAUUAGUGACAUGGAGAGACACUAACAUAAUAUUUUCACUCAAAUAUAUUGCAACAAUUCAUGUAAUUACUAGUAUUUUUCCAAAGCUCAUUUCAUUCAAAUAAUCCAACUCAUCAAUGUCCACCAUUAGUAUGAGAAACGAGGAGAUACAACCCAAAAAAAUAUUCUAUACUUCACUAUGUCAUCUUCAAACAUCCUUAAAAUAAUGUCAAUCUCAGAUCCUUAAUUCCUUAUUAUCUAUUCACUAAAUAGAAUCAAAAGCCCAUAAAUCCAAACAAAUGAAAAACACAUGGAGAUUGGUCAAAGCAUGAGUGGUUUAUAAUUCGGAAAAAGUCAAGAAAGUUAAAAAGAUAUUAUCCUAGCAAUAACAAAAUUAGCUCUCGCCACAUCAGGAAACUACUCAUUUAGCAUAAUUUAUUAACAAUAUCUAUGAAAAGAAUAUAUAAAAACAAUUCUACAAUUGGUAACUAUGGAAUAAAACAAUUUAAGAGAGAUGGAUAGAUGAAACACAAUUGAAAUUCAUUUCCUCAUGACUUAUAGGAAAAAAAAAAGUGAAAACUCAAAGUUGGUAAUUGAACAUGAACUAAAUCUUGAAGAGAGCUUUGAGAAACAACUAGAGAAGAUGACUAUGAGAUAUUGUGAAAUUCUAGUUUCAGAUCUUACACAGAUGCAAAAAUGUUUAAAUUAAAGAAGACAAGUGAUGUCUUUUGGUUUGUGAGAGGUGCAUGUUCCACUUAUAGUUAUGUCAGAGACUAUAGGGCAAACAAUUAGAUAAAAACUAAGAUUAAUCACUAAAAAAUAUUAAAACUACAAAGUGCAUAUGUAAUUGGGGAUGAGAGAAAGUAAAAGUUGACACAAUUGAUAACUAUAACAAUGACCAAGCUAAAUGUUUACAAUAUUGAAAAGAAUAUAUUUAAGGCAUUUGAGAGCACUAGCCAAAACAUGUUUGCCUCAAUCAAGAGGGAUAAGAAUGAAAAUAAAAAAUUGACAGAGAAAUUUGAGUAAACAAACAAGUAAAAAGAUGGUGCAUUUGUACACUUUCUAACCACUUUGCGAUGCAUAAUUUGCAUUCUUGGCAUAACACAAUUGAUCAAUUUAAUAAGGAUUGCAAAUAUGUCCCAUCACAAAAAUUUCAUGCUUCAAAACUGCAUGUUUGGCUAGGGGACUUGGAGCUCAGUUUCUCUAAAAUAAACUAAUCUUAUCCUUUCAAAUUUAGUUUAUGCUUAUGAUUGGAUGGUAAGGUAUCCAAAGUAUAAAAUUUAUGGGCCACUUAAAUUUGAGGUGGUGUGCACAAACCAAAAAUAUGUAUUAAAAAGCUUGUGGAUCAAUAUAAGGGUGCUCACUUGGUGGUCUUACUCCUAAAAGGAUUCAUUGAAGAGGUAAAAAGAGGAGUAUGAUUUGUACUAACAUAUAAGAAGAUACAAUGCAACAUAGAAAUCGAAAGAACUUUCUUGAACUAUAAUUUUUGAAAUACUAAGCAGAAGAAAAUUUAAUAGGAAAGUUGGAAACUAAUUAUUUUAAUAGUUAUUACGUAAAGGAUUCUUUAAUUAACUAUAACCAUAUGAAGUUAUUGAAUAGACACAUCUAGUUGCAAACAAAAAAAAAAUAGAAAAAGAAGCUAACAAUUAUUUAACAAACUAACAAUUCUUUACUUAACUUCUAACCAUAAUGCAAGAUACCCAAAUAUUCUAAUACUCCCCCUCAAAAUGGAGAAUGAAUGUUGUGAAUUCCCAUUUUACUAAGAAGAAAAAGAAAUUGAGGUGAAGAAAAAGGUUUGGUCAACAAGUCCCCCACUUGAUGUUUAGAUGAAAUAUGUAGUGUCUUCAAGCUUCCAUUUUGCAGUUUCUUUCUAACCAAGUGAUAAUCGAUCUCAAUGUGCUUAGUGUGCUUGUGAAAAAUUGGAUUAGCUACAAUAUAAAGAGUUGCUUGAUUGUUGCAAAAUAGCAAGGCAGGCUUAGGACGAGAUACAUGCAAAUCUCUAAAUAAAGAAAGUAACCACAUCAAUUCACAUGUUGCAUUUGCCAUAAAUCUGUCCUCAACUUCAACAAAAGAUCUUGAAACUGUAUGCUGCCUUUUUAUUGCUGGGAAAUUAAGGAAUCACCAAUAAUAAUAAUAAUAAUAAUAAUAAUAAAAAGCAAAAUCCACUAACAGACCACACAAGUUGCCUAAUUUGAAUCAACAAACCCUUUCAACUUUAUUAAUGAAUAAAUAAAUAAAUAAAUAAACCUUGUCCUACAUAACUUUCAAGCAUGGUUUGAAAUGUUGCAAAAUUUUGGCGAAAUAUUGUCGACAUUUUGCUUAUCAGGGAGAGCUAACACGAUAUUCCACACUGAAAGUAAAUUGUUGAAAUAUUGGGGAGAGUUGACACGAUAUUCCACACUGAAAUGUUGCAAAAUUUUGGUGAAAUAUUGUCAAUAUUUUGCUUAUCAGGGAGAGCUAACACGAUAUUCCACACUGAAAGUCGAUCGUCAAAAUAUCGGGGAGAGUCGACAUGAUAUUGCACACCGAAAGUCAAUCGACUUUAUCGAAAAGAUGCCGAUAUUUAGGUAAAUUCCUUCAAAUUUUUUUCUAUUGCAUCCAAGGGGAUUCAAACCCAAGCCCAAAGGCUUGGGUGAAGCCUGGCUACUAUUGGGCCAAGUCCACAUUUGUAAAUAUAUGUUCACAAUAAAUAUGUUAAAAUUCAUCAUUAAAAGAAUAAAUAAAUUAAUUCUAAUUAUUUUAUUUAAAAUUUUAUUUAAUUAAUUAACAAAAGUAUAAAACCAUCAUUAUAAUUUUCUUAAUAAGUCUUUUAUUUUAUUUUAUUUUUAUGUCAUUUAUAUGACAAUUAUAUAAAAAAAAAAUAUAAAUAUCAAAAAAAUUAUAUAUGCAUCAUAAUUUAUUUUAUAUUGUUGAAUGUAUUUGAAUUAAAUAAAUUAUAGUUUUAAUAUUAAAUGUAUCAUCAUUUGUCUCAUUAAUCUUAUUUUUAAAAAUUACUAUCACUUCACUUUUAUUUUUUUUUUAUGUUUAUCCUUUUAAUUUUAUUUAAUUUUGAAUGUUUUUAUUUUAAAAAUAUUAAAAAUAUAAAUUUAUUCCAAAAAGUUAGUAAAAUAAAAAAAAUAAUGAAGUUCUAAUAUUUUAUAAAUUAAAAUUAAUUUGAUAAGAUAAAUAAUAAAUUAUUAAGCCUGAUAUAUCCCUCAAUAUUUUUCUCAUUGACCAUACUUAUGUCAAUUCCACUUACAAUAACUUUAACAUAUGUAUUCUUGCUUAUUUUAUCAUUUUUUUUAGAGUUUUCCAAACAUUUCCAUGAAUUUUGAAUAAUUUUUGUUUUACCAAUAUUUUUGUCAAAAUAUCCAUCGAUAUUUUACCAAUAUUUACUAAUAUUUUACCAAUAUUUCCAAUAUAUCCAUAAAAUCCAAGUAUUGAUAUAUCCGUGUUUACCAAUAUUUCAAACCAUGCUUUCAAGUAUUGAAGCACAUGUUGUAUUGCCCACAUAUGAAGAACUCUGGGCUUUGCAAGAAAUUGAUUGAAUUUAUGUACUGAAAAUGAUAAAUCUGGGUUUGCUAUGGUUAGAUAAAGCAAUUUGCCUAUCAUUCUUCUGUAAAAUAAAAGAUCUUCUAUCAUAUCACUUUUGUCUUGUGUGAGCUUCACAUUUGGAUUUAUAAGUGUUUUCCUUGUUUUACAACCAAAAUAGCCUACAUCUGAUAGUAAUUGUAAGGCAUAAUGGUGCUAACUAAGGGAAAUUCCCUUAUUAGACCUCACCACCUCAAGGCCCUAGAAGUAUUUAAGCUUUCCUAAAUAGAACUUUUAAUUUCUCAACUUGCUCAUCACUAUUACUAACAAUGACAAUGUCAUCCACAUAAACUAAUAGAGCAAUGAAGUGAGUACUGACAACUUUGACAAAAAGAGAGUGAUUUGCAUUAGAAUGUUUAAAAACCUUCAACAAGUAAGAAAUUGGAGAGUUUGGAAAACCAUUGUCGUGAUGCUUGUUUCAAGCCAUAUAAGGACUUUUGAAUUUUGUAAACAGAGUGUGAGGAUAAUGAUUUUCCUUCACGGUGAUAACUAGGAGGCAUAGUCAUAUAAACUUCCUUAAAAAGAUCACCAUGUAAGAACGCAUUAUUGACAUCCAGCUAAGGAAGACUCCAACCAUUAAUGGUAGCCAAAGCAAGCAAAACCUUAACAGUAACCAAUUUGACAACAUGAGAGAAGGUACCUAAAUAGUCUAUGCCCUCUUGUUGUGUGCAGCCUUUAGCUACAAGGUGAGCUUUGUAUUGUUCAAUAGUUCCAUCAACUCUAUACUUAUUUUUGUACACCCAUUUGCACCCAAUAGCAUGUUUUCCUUGUGGCAAAGUAGUUAAAGACCAAGUGUCAUUUUGUUCAAGAGCUCCUAACUCAGUAGACACUGUCUCUUGCCAAUCUAGAAUAGUAGCAGCCUUGAAGUAUGUGGUGGGUUCAAAAUUAGAGGAAAUAACACAAACUUUUUUUUUAUUUUUUUAUUUUAUGAAUUUGACAAUUUUGUGUAAUCCAGGACAUGUGUGAGAGGAUGUGAGGUAGAAGAUGUGCUGUGAGAACAAGAAUAGCAAUAGUAAUAUGCUAGAUAAGAAGGAGGCCUACGAACACGAUUAGGAUGACAAUGAGACGUAGAAGGUAUGAAAACAGUAGGAAUUGUUGAUAUUGGCAAAGAUGUAGAUUCAAGAAUGGAAUAAAAAGAAGUAAAUAGUAAAAUUGUAUUAGAGAAAAUAUCUGGAAGAGGAGAAUAAGUUUGAAUAGUUUUGAAAGAAAAUAUAGACUCAUGAAAUACCACAUUAUGGGAGAUAAACACAGAAUUAGUGACUAGAUUCAAUAAUUUGUAUUCUUUAUAACCAGGUGGGUACCUAAAAAAAGACAAAAGGAAUGACAUGAGGUGAGAAAUUUGUCCUAUGACGAUCUAAAGUAGAUGCAUAACAUAGGCAACCAAAAUUAUGAAGAUGUGGAUAUGCAAGCUUCUUUUUUCCAAAGAAGUUCAAAGGUUGUUUUGUUGGACAAAAGUGGGAAUGAAGUUUUAUUUAUUAAGUGUACAAUAAUAAGAACGCAAUCUCCCCAAUAAACCAAUGGAAUAUGUGAUUGGAAACAUAAAUACCAUACAACAUUUAAGAUAUGUUGAUGCUUUCUUUCUGCUAUUGAAUUCCGUUGAGGCUAAUCAACACAAGAAUGAAAUGAGAUACUCAUUUUGCACUAAAGAAGUCAAAAAAUGCAAAUUCAGGAGCAUUAUCUGAGUGAACUAAUUUUAUUUGUGUUCCAAACUAAGUUUGAAUUAAUAAGAAAAAAAAUUAGGAAUAAAUUUGGUAACAUUAGGCUUAGCACGCAAAAGAUACACCCAAAUAAAACGAGUACAAUCAUUAACAAUAGUAAACAAAUAUCUAUAACCUUCAAUGGUAAAUGUGUGAAGGAGACCCUAAACAUCACAAUGUAUGAGUUGAAAAGGCAAAACAAACAAAUAAUUGUGAGAAAUAAAAUGUAAUUUGCAUUGUUUGACUAAAUGGAAAACUAGACAAUGACUUGAAUCACCAAAAUUUGGUUUAACUUCUAUUUCAUCUUUGAGUGUUUGUAACAUUACAUAAGAAGGGUGACCUAAACGGUAAAACCAAAUUUUAUUUUGAGACAAAGAAACAUUAUUAUAAGGACUGAAAAUUUGUGUAGUGGAAUGAAAAUUGACUAUAUUUAAGAAGUAUAGACUGCCAUGUCUUCUACUCAUCCCAAUCAUUUUGGUCCAUGCAUGGCCUUGAAUAGUACAAGAAUCAACCAUAAAAUUAAUAGAAGAUUUAUAACUCUGAGUGAGAGAACUGAUAGAGAGGAGAUUGAAAUGGAAAUUAGGAACAAACAUGACAUUAUUAAGGAUGGGAUUAGGAGACAAAAACACAACCAAUACGAUUAAUAACAACAGAUUGACCAUUAGGCAAAGUUACAAAAGAAUUUUGUGCUGGAGUAAGAUUGUGUUAAUGUGCUUAAGGAACAAAAAACAUGAUGUGCAACUUCUAUGUCCAAAAUCCAAGUGGAAAAAGAAAUUGAAAAAUUAUGAGAUAGAAGAAAAAGAUAGUAUACCAUUGAACUGGGAAACAAAGGGUUCUAGCUAUUGAGAUUCUGACAUAACAAGAAAGUUGUUAUGAAAUUGAGAGCUCAAGAAUGCAAGCAAUUGAUGACACUGAGCUAAAGUAAGAUAUCUGAUUCGUGCCCAGUCGGGUAUUUUAAUAAAAAACAUUUAUAAAUCCUAUGACCUCAUACUAGCGUAGCAAAGCUACUAUAGUAUAGCAGCUCUAGGGUCGAACUCUGGGAUGGGUUUUCAUUCUACCAGUGAUAGACUCAAGAUUAGAAAUUGAAUCUGAUGAUUUCCUUUGUCAAAAACUUAAAGUUUAAAAGAAAAUAAAAUUUGUUUUGAAAGUGGUGUUUGAAACUAAACUAACAUAAAACUAAGUAAAAAUGGAAGAAAUAAAGUCUCUCGGAGCUAAAGGUUGCUAUGAUCAAGUUCAGAAUGCAAAGUGGAAAAUUCCGGAUUUUUCUCCUUGUAUUGGGGACAACAACAUAAAGGAUGGUUGUUCCCGAACUAGUAUAGGUUUAACAAUGAAGAUUUAAUCCAUAAAAAGUCAAUAGAAAUGGUAGUCAAGUUCCAUUAAUGGCUUUAGAUGCUAUGGGUCUUCACUUUGAGCCACUUUCCAAUGGCUCGUACAUGAUAACUAAUGGUCUGAUGUGGAUCUAGCAAUAAGUAUCCACAGAGACCUAAAACUUAUCAUGUAUUGGCCAUUCAAAGUGAUUCUAAGGGAUUUAAAGCAAAACUUUAGAUUUAAAAGCCAUUUAUGAACUCUAACUACCUGUAUUUAAUGCAUGAGAGUUUUCCACUUUUGCAUCUGGACUUUUCACCUAGCUUCCUUCACUCCAAGAAACCAAAGGUUUUGCCUCUCAUCCUCUGGGAAAACAUCCUCAGAGAUUGUUUGGCUUCCAAGAAAAAGAGAAUAGAAGAGAGAAAAGGAAAGCAAAGAGAACCCUGUAUAUCUCCCCGAGAGGAAAAUUUUACUAAGUGUAAAAAUAUACAAUAUGUUAGUUUUUCGAGAGAUGAUUUCCACACCUUUUAUAGUCUUUACAAAAGCAAAGCCUGUGAUUGGCUAAUUACAGGGAUAAGAAAGGAAUUUACAUCAAAAAAUACAAAAGAAAAGAUCUCAUGUGGAGUCGGCAGAACAGAGGAGAUUUCGCACCAAAGACGCAUGGGCUGGUGCGAAAUUCGCACUUGCAUGGCUGGUGGUGCAAAAUUCGCACUUGCUUGGGCUGUUGUGUGAAAUUCGCACUUAGCUUGAUGCAAUUGUCUUCCGAAUGCCAUAUCUUCCUCAUUUCAGCUCCAAAUCAUACAUGGUUUGAAGCGUUGGAUUUUUGACUUCCUGAGAUUUGAAAUGGUAUAUAGCAUGUAGAAAAUGGACUUCAGAAAGUGCUCCAAAAGUGCGAAGGAAGACUACAGCUGUUGUCCUCUAUUUUCUUCACUCCGUUUUCCUCUUUGCUUUUCUCCUUUACUUGGCUUGUCUUAAUGAUCCAAAAAGCUGUCAAAACACUAAAACUAGCCACAAAUAUGAUUAGAAGUCAUUGCUAGGUCCUUAACAUGCCAAUUGGAAUAAAAAUGGAGAAUUACUAUACAAAAGUGCUUAAAACAUAAUGAAUUAAAAGCGCAAAAUAGCACUUUUUGGGUAGUAAUCAAUAUCCAAGGGGUGAACCAGAGUUAAUAGUCUCAUUAAUAGUUGCAUUGACCUAGGUGGCUUGAAUUUUUUACUUCAGGUUUCUUUGAUUUUGACUUAUAGCCAGGAUGAUAGCCAUGUAACUAAUAGCAUUUAUUUACAGUAUGUCCUUGCAAGCCACAAUGGGAACAUUAGGGUCACUCACGCUUGGGUUUUAAAGUUGAAUUUCUAGAAAAAAAUUGUUAUUGCAACAAAACCAGAGGAAUUUGAAAUGUUGGGCAUAAGAGAAUCGGUAAGUAAAAAAGAGCCUUGAUUGAUAGUACAUUGGCAUUCUUCUUGAACAACUAAUGCAAAGACAUCAUUAAGAUUUGUGUUCAAGUUUGAGCAUUUGACUUAAUCAAACCCAUAAGAAAUUGCAUGAUGUACUCCUAUUGUUGGUGUCUAACCAAUAUUUUGUGCUUCCAUAGUGAUAGACAAGAAUGGGUUGUUAAUUUUUGAGCUCAUCCUAGAGGACCUUGAGCUUAGUAUAGUAUGUGUUGACAUCCAUAGAUCUUUGCUCAAGAACAACUGCGUGUUUCUCAAUUUAGAAGAUUCGUGGGACAUUGCUUUGGUGGAAUCAAUCAUAAAGAUCAACCCAAGCAUUAAAAGUGCUAUUAGCAUAGAGAAGACUAUCAACAAUAUCUUUAAAAAUAGAGUUCAAGAUCUAGGAUGUAACCAUACUAUCACAAUGGAUUCAAACAAAGGAAAUGAGAUUGUCUGUUGGAGGUUGAAGAAGAGUGUCAUCAACCAAGCUGAUCUUGUUCUUAGUUAUAAGAGCCAUGUGCUUAGAUCUACUAUAGGAAUUAUAGUUAGCCCCAGUGAAUUGAUGUGAGACAAGAACCAAGCCUAGGUGAUCUUUAUUAUGGAAGAAAAAUGGACUACUCGAAUCUUCCAUUAUAGAGGAAUUAGGAGUGCUAACUACUGCUCAAUUUACAUUAGCAUUUCCACCACCACAAGCCAUCAGAUAAAUGGGAGGGGAAAGUUAGAGAUGGCACAAAGACGAAAGAAAUGACUUUAAUACCAUAUUAGAAAAUUGACUAGAGAAAGGAAAGAAGAGAAAAUGAGUUCUCUGGUAAUUUUAGAAUAUUCUCACUUGAUGUUUUAGUAAUACAAAGAAAGCCUUUAUAAUAAAGAUUGGUAACAAAGCUAUCACAACCUACUAGUUUACCAGUUGCAAAAAAAAAAAAAAAAAAAGAAGUUACUAACGAUUAUUUAACAAGCUAACAAUUAUUUAACUAACUUGUAAUCAUAUUGCAAGAUACCUAAAUAUUCUAAUACCAUUAAUUCCCACUCCCUGGUGCUCAAAAUAUUGAAUUAGGUGGAAUAAAUAUUGUGUGAUUUUAUUGAAAUUAUGAAUCUUUGUGUAGUUGUUAGAUCGUUGGUUGUAAAUUCAGGCUUACUAUUUGUAAAAUACAUGUGUAGUUUGGUCUUUCAAAUGGAAUUCAUGAAAACUACAAGAUAUUGAAGAGACUAUGAAUUUGAACAACAACAAACCAUUUGAACCAAAUGGAGAUGUGUAGGGUGCAUUAUUCAGUGCUUAAUUUUGAGGUACAUAAUAAUAUAAAGUUGACCCUAGUUGUAGCUAAAGCAUUGGAGCUAAAACCAAAAAGUUCAUUGUCUAUAUACCAAUGUGAGGUAAUUGAUUACUACUCAAAAAGUACUCUUUUAUAGCUUGAAACUAACUGUUUUAAACACUUUUGAGUAGUAGUUAAUACCUUUUAACUCAAUUGGCACAUUAAGGAACCUAGCAAGGGUUACUAAUCAGCUUUUGACAAGUUUUGGUGUUUUUGAUAGCUAUUGGAUCAUUGGAAUAAGCCAAGAAUGAGAGAGAAUUUUGUGAAAUCCAUGGCAAUGAAAGUUGAAGCUCAAAUACAUGAAGAAUCCGAGCUUUGGAGCACUUCAUAGCCCUUUUCCAAGCUUAGAAAUAAGUUGCCAAGCCAAUCAGAGAUACAAGGAAGGAAACCAAAGGAAGAAAUCCAACAACCAGCAUUUUCUCAUAACAUGCGAAAUCAAGAGGAGAAGCAGUUGUAGGAUUGAGAGCAGGACUGAGUGAAAGACAAUUUUGCACACUAUGCAAAAUUUCGCAUACUCUGCGAAACCACAAGAGGCAGCCAAAGAAAUUUCGCACACCAUGCGAAAUUUCGCAUGGUAUGCAAAAUCUUCCUGUGCACCAACUCCGUUAGAUUUUUAUCUCCAGAUAUUUUUGUGUAAUUUCCUAUUUUCUCCUAGUAAUCAACCUAGAUAUUUUCAUAUAUAUCUUUUGGGUAACAUCUUUUGAAAAAGGGGGGGGGGGGUUGUAAAGACCUCUCUAUAUAAGAUGAUCCUCUUGUAUAAUUAUAUAUAUCAAAACAUUGAACACUUGUAAAAUCGAAUAGUAAGAAGUAUACACGGCUUUUGCUCUGCAUUUCUUUCUCAUUUUGUUUUCACUUUUCUUUCUAGUCAAAUAACCUCUGAGGAUGAUUUUUCAGGGGAUGAGUGGCUAGAUUUUACGUUUCUUGGAGUGAUGGAAGCUAGGUGAAGGACCCGAAUGCAAAUAUGGGAGUUGUCCUUGCUUUAAAUGAAAGUAGUUGUUAACCAUUAAUGGUUUUUAUUUUAAGGUUUAACUUUAAAUCCCUUAAAAACACCUUGAAUGGCCAAUACUUGGUAAGCUUUUCGGAUUCUAUGGAUGUUUAUUGCUAGAUCCAUGGAUGUCUAUUAGUUAUCAUUUACGAGCCAUUAGAAGGUGGUUCAAGGUGAGAGUCUUUAGUGUUUGAAGCCAUUAAUGGGAAGCAACUAUCGUUUUUCACGAUGACCAUUUGGAUCAAAUCUUAAUUGCUAAAUAUAAAACCGGUUCGGGAGAUAACCAUUCUUUAUGUUAUUGUCCCCAUUGGGAGGAGAAGAUCCAGAAUCUCCCCCUUUGUCUAAGGAACCCGAUCCUAGUGACCUAAAACUCCAAGAGACCUUUUCUUUGUAGUUAACUUCACUUAUUAUUUUUUCUUAACUUAAAAUCAAUCUUUGCAACCACAAUUCCAUUUUAUUUAAAAGCUAAUUUUCAUAAGGAAAAACACCAUUUUAUUUCCUUCACUAAAGUCAACUGUACGAUGAAAACCCAUCCCUGUGGACGAUCCUAGAACCACUAUACUAUGUUAGCUAUGCUACCCUAGUGUAAGGUGAUUUAGGUUUUAUAAAUUUUGUUGAUAACACCCGUCUGGGCCAGAAUCAAAUAGCACGACUGCAAUGGGGAUGAAUCAGUAAUGGAGAAGCAAUAUGUGGUGUUAAUUAGAUUAAUUCUAAUGCAAAAUGGAGAGAGGAUGAAGGAAGAAGAAGUGGAUUUAGUUAGAAUAAUGCAUCCAUGGGUGAUGAUCAAGGGUUGAGAUGGAGACAAAUAGAGGGCAUGUAUAUAUAUACACACAAACUUUUUCAAUUUGUGAAGUGGAGUAUUUUACCAAGAUAAACCUAUGAUUAGGGUAUUGACAGAUUUUCAUUGCUUAAAGAGAUGAUGCAAAGACAACUUGUUUGACUUGGUAUGGUAGCUAUGAAUUCUUGGUCAUGCAUUUUGGGUUGAUUAAUGCCCUUGCCACUUUCUGCAACCUCAUAAACAACAUCUUAUUUGACUUCCUAGACUCAUUUGUAGUGUAUUAUUUGGAUGAUAUAGUGAUCUACAACUACACUCUACAAGAUCACUUGGUCCACUUUAGGAAGGUAUUGCAAAGACUAAGGUAGAACCAGUUGUAUGUAAAAGGGCCUUAACAUUUGGUUAGUGUGCAAAGUAAACAAUACAACAUGACCAAAGCAAACCUUAAGAUGUUAAAUAAUUAAAAAAUCUACAAAGAAAGAUGUAUAAAAUAGGUAAACAUGAAAACAAGAAGAGAUUAUAUUUGAGUAGAAGUUAAUGUCAAGACAUAUAUGUGCAAAUAGUAGGGUACCAAAACACUUGGAGCAAAAGGUUGUAAGGAAGAGAAAUCUCCAUGACUUGCUCAUUUAUUAUUUUUUUUCUUUGGAAGUUAGAGUGGUUGCAAUUAGAACUAGAGGGUGCUAACCUAAUAAACGGUAAAACUAAGAGUCAUAUAGGAUUUAGGAGGGGCGUUGCGAAUUUGACGAGGGUGAUAAUGAGAGAUUGUAUGGGAUAUUCAAUGGAGAGAAAGGUGCAUGUGACAUUAAUGUGGUGUAACUUUGAAGUAGUAUUGCUUUUUUAUAAGGGUGCUGGUGGGUUUUUUUAUGUUAGCCAUAGGCAUGGAUGAAUUAAUGCAGCGGUGGUGUUGUAUAAGGUGGGGAAGGGUGACAUUUUGUAGAAGUGUGAGUGUAGGUUUUUAGAGGCAGAGAUGAUGGGAAUGGUGGUACAACAGUGGUGAAAGUUGUGGAAUUAGAGAUGGAUUAUGAGUUGCGUGAUAUGAAAAAUUGAUGACAUUGGUUUGAAAAUGUGUAGGGUUGAGGGAUUGAGAAGAGAAUGGUGCCAAUGAUGGGUUUUCAUGGUGUUAGUCCUAUGGUUUUUUGUGGAGAAUGUGGUGUGUGCAAUGAUGAGCCCCAUGCCAUGUUCUCAUAUGGGUUUCCCAAUAUAAAAAAAUAAUGGUUUUUGCCUUAUGAAUAUUAUUAUAAUAUGCUUUUGUAUUUGAGUGCAUAAAAUAUAUUAAUUCAUAUAACAAUUCAAUGUCUUUUGUUCCAUUUCUAUCCCUUAUCCAAUCAUCAUUUUUUAUUUUUUAUUUUUACAGCAAGCAUGCACCAUUUGCAAUACAUAUCUUAUUAUAAUUGUUUUCCCAUUGUUAAGCACCGCAAGGUUGAUCUAUGUUUGCAACAAAAAGGUUCAUCCAAAUGUGAAGAAUUUGUGAGCUUUAAAUAUUGGAACCUAUUGCAAAUAGGAAUGCAUCACAAAUAUGAUUGCUUUGAUGAUUUUCUUUUCCUUUCAAGACCAAUUUAUUAUGUCAAGUAAUGGUUCUCUCAAUAUGUUCUUGAUGUUUCUUAGAGAAUGAUAACGGUUUAAUGUUAUUUUAUUGCUUGCAUUUUCCUCAUCUAAUUUGCAUAAACUUUUCCAAUUUAAACUAUUGGUUCUUUUUUUUUUUUUUGUCAUAUAAAUACAAAUAUUUUUAAAACAAUACGUGUCGUGGAUUUUCUUUAGCAUUUGACUUUUUAAAACAAAUCAAUUUGUCAAUUGUGUGCAAGCAAUAUGAGGUUCUUGGCUUGUCUUGUAAAGUCCUUAAAACUUAAAACUAAUUAUUAAGUUAUUUUAUCUAUUAACUAGUGAUAGGUGUAGAUCUGUUAAGGGAUUUUUUUGACAAUAUGAUAUUACUAGUGAAUAAUGAGGAUAUUUCAUAAAUAUAGCUUGAUGAAUUAGGAAAAGGAAAAAAGGAAAAAAGGAACUUGAUGAAUUUUAAUGGUGAAUUUAGCUCAAUGUCCAUACCUUUGAUAAAGGGGUAUCCAUUACAAACUUGAGAGAAAAUACAUUCAAGAGAUUUUUAACUCAUAUGAGUUGUGAUAAAGUUGAGUCUAAUUUUUUUUCCUAUAAAGAUGAUAAAAUGACGAAUAUUAUGAACUUUUACCCCAUAAACCAUAAAAACAUACCAAAAACUUUUUCUUUUUCUUUUCAAUUUUUAGAAAACUUUUAUUGAGAUUCUUUUUAAUAACUAUUGUACCCUUACUUUAAAAUGUUGUUUGUUUUAUCUUUUUAUUUUUUAUUUUUUACCAUACACUCUAUUUUUGAACUUGAUAGUUCCUAAUUUUUUUCCUCUUUAUAUUGUUUUUUUUUUUUUUUUUUAUCUAAAGAUUUAUGAACUUUAUAAUGAGGUUACAAAUUUAUUGAUGUUUUAUGGAUGGUAUUAUCAUUUUUGUCUCAAUUCAUUUUUAUUGCUUUCUUUUCAAUGGAAUAAAAAAAUGUGAACCAAUGGUGUAAAUGAAACUAGCUAUUGAUUUCUUAAAGUCGCAUAUAGAUUUGGAUGAACUAUAAUUUAUAUUUACAACUCAAUUUUAUGGUUAGGAAGUGUAUCAAUCUACUCUUUUUGAGUAGGCAUUUAUAGGUUUUUUCUUUUUCUUUUUCUAUCUUUUUUUUUUUUUUUGAAAAAACAACAUGAAUUUCAUAAUUUAAGGGGAUAGUAAUUUUAGCAAUUAGUUACUUAACUUUAUAGUGCUAAUACUUCACCUCAUAAACUAUAAAAACAUUCUAUUUUAUAUCAAUUUACUUAGUCCUUACCAUUUUCAAUCAGGAAACUAAUGUUUUUUAUUAUGUUGAAUAACUAGGGUUGAUUUUACUUUGAUUACAAAACAAUAUUAAUGUUAAAUAAUGAAUUUUCCUAAAAGCUUAAUUAAGUUGUUAGAAUUUGAGCACAUAACAUAUAUAAUGGUCCAACACCCCUCUUCUCUCAUAUGUGAGCCCAUACCUACCAUGGGGAGCACUUUAUGGUCAUAAAUAAUCAGAUAGAUAAAUAAUGAGGGGAGGACUUGGACUCAGGACCCCUAUUAACUUCUCAUCAGCAACCUCAUAUCUAGCCUUCUUUUUACUCAAUAAAUUAGGGAAAUAAUAUGUCUUUAGGUCCAAACUAAUAACCUUCGAAUAAACAAGACUCUAAUGCCAUAUCGAACUUUUGAUUUUUCUAAAAGCUUAAACUAUUAAGAUUCGAUCUCAUUCUUUAACACUCUCUUUCACAGCAACCCCAUACCCUUAUAUGAAGAGAAAAAUUUUCCUAUACAACUAACCUCAUUUUAGACUUACAUUGAGGCUCAAUAAAUCAUGGAAAUAAUGAGGUGAGAUUCAAACACACAACCUCCCACUAAACAAGACACUAUUGGCAUGUUAAGCAACCGAUCUUCCUAACAACUGAAGUUGUCAUGAUUUGGGCUCAUAAUGUACAUCAUGCUCCAAAAUUAGAAAAAACCUUCUAACUCCUUUCAAGUAUUAAAUUAUAUAACAUUGUUUUCUUCAUUCGAAAGUCAUAUUUAGACAUAGGCAAAUCAAAGUUUCUAAGCCUCGGGCUUUUUCAAUAUUUUUCUCAUAACAAAAUCUUAGAUCUCACUUCCAUUUUUUUUUCUCUAAAAAAGUAUCUAUAAAUUUACAACUAAAACUUGAAAGUUUUAAAUGUCCCAAGAGUUUAAAAUGAGAGCAAAGCGAGAGUAGAUGAUUAUGUAGAGAUGGUAGCAGUAAGAUCAAGGAUAACAACAAUAUCACUUUUUUUUUCAUUUGGAUAGAAAUGAAGUUUUUUUAUAAUGCUAUGAAAUAGUAUUUUGAAUAUUAGUUAUUCUAUAAGGAUAUACACACUUCUUCAUAUGACACUUAUAAUGAAGACACACUUGUCACCUCUCUCAUUUAAGCUAAAAUGAUAUCAAUGUGUGUUAAUCCAACCUUGGUAAGUAUAAGAUCUAAUUGCUAAACCAAGACGCUCAAACUAAUCUUGAAAUGCUAAUGGUUAGGGAAACUAGAUUUACCACUAAGGACACAAAGUCCAUUCCAAAACCUUGAGCUUUGCUCAUGAACUAGGUAGAUUUAUAAACAUCAAGGCAUUAUGGUAAGGCUGACACAUUAGAAGGAGGUAUAAAAGAUCAUAAACCAAUGACAACUAUUAGUUUUUAGGAAGCAUGUAUUUUCUAGAAUAAGAAUAAAACAAUUAUCAGAAGCACAUGAUACCAUCUUAAGGAAGAAUAGAGUAAGAAACACCCCUACCCCCCUCCCUGGCAUUCACUAUGGGCAACAUCCAUGCUUCAUAGGCAUCCAUGUGACUUAGGGUCUUAUUGAAGAUAAAUAUUCAUUUUCAAAUAAUGUAGCACUAUGGCAUAGGAGAUAUGAAGGUAGAACAUGGACCUAUCCAUGUAUCAAAGAUUAAGGGCAAGAAAAGUGUAAUGAAUGUCAUGUUUAUUAGAGAGAUGUCUUCGAUAUGUAACACUAAUCUUUGAGGCAUGAUGCUAUAUAAUUAGUCAAACUCACACAUCAUCAAUGAGACACAUGAAAGACAAUGAUUGAUCGCCAUGGGCUUUACAAAAUAAGAUAUCAACAUUACACUUCAAAAUAAUAAGUGUACAUGUCGUACUAAUUUCACAUUGGUUUUUAACAUGGAAACAAUAAAAUAAGCAUAACACAAAUUCAAAAAUUUGAGACUUCAAUCACAAAAUUGAAAAUAUUAAUUAAAAUGGUAUAUAAAAAUCAAGAAAAAAAAAAGCAAAAAAUACAAAUACUAACAUAAAUUACUAACUUGAAAUCUUAACAUUUAUACAAUUGCAAGUCUCUAGUUUUUACUUUUUCUUUCUCUUAGUUUAUACAUUUUUGUUCAAUUUUAGUUUCUAAACAAAAAUUAGCUAUUUAAUUUUAUGUCAACAUUAUUGAAAUAAAUUGAGAGCAAAUUUUAGGUAUGUGAAAAUGGUGAAAUGGUAGAGAAUGAAAGAGUUUAAAAAUAAAUAAGAAUUCAAAAUAUUUAAGAAUUAUGUUGCUUAGUUUAGAGAGAGAUAAUGAAAUAUGAAAACUAUUAUAAGGAAAUCAUUAAACAAAAAAUUGACAGGCAACAUUGCUAGAAAUGUCCUCAUCUUCUUCCUCUUCUCCAAUUCCUAGUUCUAGUGUUAUCUUCAUUUUUCUUCCUCUUUCCCUACUCAUUUAUUACAUCUUCUUCACUCUAAAUUCAAGACAAAAACCAACUAAGAAUGAAAAAAAAUAAUAAAGGACUAUGAUAUUGUCUUAAUUUGAUAUGUCUACUUUUUAUUUAAAAAAUAAAGAAUUGAGGUUCCAAGAGAAAAGCAUAGGUCCAAAUAUAAUAUUUUUUUUAAUUUUUUUUUAUGUUUAAAAAAAAAUAAGUAUGUGAAAUUAUAUAAAUUUUAUCAUCUUCUAUGUCUAUCCUCCCGCUUAAACCCUAAUCCUAAUGUAUUUUUUCAUUUUCAAUCUCUCGCCUUCUUCAUUUUUCUCAUUAUAAAAAAAAAAAUAAAUCUAUGAAAAUGAUGAUGAAAUAUCCAAACAUGGUAAAAGAGAAUAAUAGAAAACAAUAGACAAAGAUAAACAAUUUAUGUGUUUUGACAAUAUGCCUUCAUCUAUGGUAAUGGUAAGAUGAAUGCACUAAAGAUAUCAAAAUAAUAAACAACAAUUACUAGCAAUUCUCAAAAACUCUCUUGCUCUAUUUUCCCUCAAUGAAGUUUCUUGGGAAUUUUGAAUGAAACUAAUAAAACCAAUUACAAUUCUAAAUUUAUACCUUUUUAAAAACCUAAAUAGUAAUUAUAACAACUACAACAACCAAAAUCUAAAUGUUCUAGUUCAAAAAGUCAAACAUAUAAUUGACUAUGUAAUAUUUAACUAAGUAAUUUAAAUGAAGCUAACCAAACAAUCUUUAAGGAUUUUGCAACUACACACCUAAAGGUACAUUGAUCCUUUCAACAUGGAUCACAUUUAAACAAUGGCUAAACUUGACUUUAGGAAAAAUCUUUCUCAAAAUAUGACCUACCUCAUUAACAUUAGCAAUCUUUCUAAAAUAAGAUCUGACUUUCUUCUAGAAUCUCUUAAAUAAAAUGAAAUUAGACAUCAAUAUGCCUUACCAAUGAGUGAUGAAUUUUAUUCUUAAAUAAAUGUAGGGCACUCCCAUUAUCAUAAUAAAUCACAAUGUGAUCUUGCUUUACUCUUAAAUGUUAGAUAAAUAUCUUUGAUAAUUACAAGUAGUAAAACGAAAAUCCAAGAUUGUACCUCCAGCCAUAGCAAUCAAAUUCACACAAAAUAGGGAUUAGUUGGCUAGUCCUUACAAAACCUUAUGUUCAUGCACCGAUGGAACUCAUAGACUUAUUCUUGUAUACUAGAGACUCUUCUUCCCUCUUUUGGAAUUAAUCAUGUAUCUAUCUAUUUAUUUUCUCUUCUUCCCAUCAAAGAAAACUUCGGGUAGUUUUCAACCGAGUAAUAUGUCCCACGUUUGUAGACAUGGGUGGUUACUCCAUAAGAGAUACGCCCCUACGUUUCAUUUAUUUUAGGGAAAAUAAUAUUUAAAUAGGCCACAAUUUAAAAUAAUUUUAUUUUAUUAAAAAUAAAAAAACUGUUUCCAACAUUUCUCCUACUUGGCCCAUAAAAAUUUUUUAAUAUGUAUUAAUUAAAUUAAUACAUAACAUAUUUUUCUCUAAAUCCUUAUACUUAAUCAAAAGUGUUUAAAGCACGUGAAUCAUGGCAGUAAGUCCUCUAAGAAUAAUAUUACCUUCCAUGUAUUACAAUGUAACUUUCUCUUUUGAAUAAGAAGAAUACAUGAGUCAUUCCUUUAUGAAUGAGUUUCCAAAAUUCUCAUUCAAGGUCUACUUAACAUUCAUAACAUGCAUAUUUUCAUUCUCUAAACUUUAUGUAUACAACCAAAUGAGAAGACAAGAUUGAAAUAAUUAAAGUUUUCAUAUUAACCAAAAAAUGUGAUAAAACACAAAAGAUGUCUCAAUUACAUAAAAUUUACAAAAUAGAAUUGAGUCCCAUAUGUUCAACCUGUUCUUUAUAAGCCUUAGGUGACAAUCCUUUCGUCAAAGGAUCCGCAAUCAUCAAUCCAGUACUAAUAUGCUCAAUAUCCACCUUGUUUGACUUAACAUGUUCCCUAAUAGAUAAGUACUUUAUGUCGAUGUGUUUACUACGACUUCCACUCUUAUUAUUCUUAGCCAAAAACAUUGCAGCAGAGUUAUCACAAUAAAUCUUCAAUGGCUUAGAAAUUAAGUCAACAACUUGAAGCCCUGAAAUAAAACUCCUCAGCCAAAUAGCCUGUGACGUUGCUUCAAAACAUGAAACAAAUUUUGCUUAUGUGGUCGAAGUAGCAACCAAUGUUUGCUUUGCACUUCUCCAUGAAAUGGCCCCUCUAGCUAAUAAGAAAACAUAUCCAGAUGUUGACUUUCUAGAAUCAAGGCAACCAGCAAAGUUAGAAUCUGAAUAUCCAACCACAUCCAAAUGAUCAGAUCACAUGUAUGUAAGCUUGUAGUCCCUAGUCCCCUUAAGGUAUCGCAUGACUUUCUUUGCAGCUUCCAGUGUUCCAGACCUCGAUUACUUUGAUAUAUGCCCAACAUUCCAACUGCAUAAGAAAUGUUAGGUCUUGUACAAACUUGAGCAUACAUUAAACUCCUAACUGCAAAAACAUAAGGAAUAUUUUUCAUCUCUUUCUUCUCCAAAUCAUUACUUGGGUGGUUCAAACUAAAUUUGUCACAUUUGACAAUCGAUGCAAUACCAGGUGAAUAAUCCUUCAUGCGAAAUCUCUCAAGCACUUUAUUGAUAUAGGUUUCUUGAGACAAUCCUAAUAUCCGUUGAGAUCUAUCUCUCUCAAUAUUUAUGCCAAUGACAUAAGAAGCUUCACCCAUAUCUUUCAUAUCAAAUUGUUGCCAGAGAAAUCGCUUCACCUCAUGAAGCAAGCCCAAAUCAUUUGAAGCAAGCAAAAUAUCAUCCACGUAUAAGACUAAGAAAAUCAUUUUGCUCCCAUUAACCUUAUGGUAUAUACAUUGAUCCAUAACAUUUUCUAUAAAACCAAAUGAAGAAUUAACAUCAUGGAAUUUUAAAUACCAUUGACGGGAUGCUUGUUUUAGUCCAUAUAAGAUUUCUUAAGCUUGCAAACAAUGUGAUCAUUUCCAUUUGUGAUAAACCCUUCUAGUUGUUUCAUGUAAACCUCUUCCUCUAAAUCUCCAUUAAAGAAAGCUGUUUUCACAUCCAUUUGAUGUAGUUCCAUAUCAAAAUGAGCUACUAAUGUCAUGAUUAUCCGAAAUAAAUCAUUCUUGGAAAUAGGAGAGAAGGUAUCAUGAUAAUCAAUUUCUUCUUGUUGAGUGAAUCCUUUAGCUACAAGUCUUGCUUUAUAUCUUUCAAUAUUGCCCAAAGAAUCUCUUUUAGUCUUAAAAACCCAUUUACAACCAAUUACCUUUGCACAUUUGGGCAACUCAACAAGAUCCCAUACUUGAUUAUUAGCCAUUGAAUUCAUCUUAUCUUUUCACUUCCACCCAUGGCUUGUGAAAACGUAAUAGGGUCAUCUUCAACACCACUAUCAAUGUCAUAUUCUUGUAAGUACACAACAUAAUUAGAAGAAAUUGCAGAUCUCCUUUCUCUAGUAGAUCUUCUUAAUGUUAUAUCAACAUUCCCUUGUUAAGGAUGUUGAAUAACUGAAUCCACCAAAAAAUCCUCAUGAUGUGGUUCAUUAACAACUAGUGUUUCUUGGAUUGUCAAAUCUUGAUGACUAUCCGGGAAAAUAAUUAAUCCACUUGAAGACUCAAGAGUGGGUUCAAUAUUGUGGCGUUCCUCAAACACUAAGUGUCGAGAUUCAUUGCUCUCACUAAUCACAUCAUUCUCCAAAAACCUUGCAUUCUGAGAUUCUACAAUUUUCGUAGCACGAGAAGGACAAUAAAUUUUGUAUCCUUAGACUUUUCUGCAUAGCCAAUGAAAUAUCCACUGACUGUUCUUGAAUCCAAAUUUUUCACUUGUGGAUUAUAAAUUUUAACCUCAGUUGUGCAAUCCCAUACAUGUACAUGCCUUAGACUGGGUUUCCAACAUUUCCAUAACUCAAAAGGCAUUUUAGGAACUGCCUUAGUUGGAACCCAAUUUAGUACAUAUGUUGUUGUCUUUAUGGCCUCACUCCACAAGGAUAAUGAGAGGUUGGAGUUACUAACCAUACUCCUAACCAUGUCCUUUAGGGUUUGGUUUCGUCUUUCAGCCACACCAUUUUGAAUGGUGAGCCGGGCAUUGUGUAUUGGGCAACAAUGCCACGUUCCUGUAGAAACCUUGCAAAUGGACCAGAUAAUUGUCCUCUUUUAGUGUACCUACCAUAAUAUUCACCACCUCUAUCGACUUCACAAUCUUAAUUUGUUUACCAAAUUGUUUCUCUACCUCUGCUUUAUAGAUUUUGAAAGCAUCUAGUGCUUCACACUUAUCAUAAAGCAAAAAGAGAUACAUAUAUAGUGAGUAGUCAUCGAUAAAAGUGAUAAAAUAUCUUUGACCAUUUAAGCACAUAUCAUAAAGACCACUAAUGUCAGUGUGUAUGAUUUCUAAAACAUCAAAAGUCUUCCUAGCACUUUGCUUCUUAGUCAUGUUGAUCUGCUUUCCCUUAAUGCAGUCCACAUAAAUAUCAAAAUCAGUAAAAUCAAGAGCCUCAAGGACUCCAUCAUUUACCAAUCUUUUAAUUAUUUCAAUAGAGAUAUGACCUAAUCUCUUGUGCCACAAUGUGGAAGAUUUCUUAUUUAUAACACCACACUUAAUGCCAACAUUUCCAUGCAUAGUUGUAAGGCUAUGAUUAAAACUUUGAUUUAAAUUAAGUUUUAAUAAACCAUUAUCCAAAAUACCAUCACCAACAACAACAUUGUCUUUUAUCAAAUGAAAUGAAAUAUCAACAAAUUUAAAACUAAAACCAUAUGGUAAAAGUCUCGAAACUAAAAUAAGAUUCCUAGAAAAUGAUGGAACAAAAAAAAAAGUUUUCAAGGUUUAAAACAAAACCAGAUCUAAGAACAAGUAUGUAGGUCCCAAUCGCUUCCACAUGUGAACUUAUCUGAUUUCUUGAAUAGAUAGAACGUUCACUUUCCGUUGGUUUCCUUUGGUUUAAGAAGCCCUGCAUGGUAUUGGCAACAUGAAUUGUAGUAUCAGAAUCAAUCCAGCAAGUGUUAUAAGAAAUAUGAACCAUAUUAGAUCUGUAACACACUAAAGAGAUGAGAUUACCAUUCUUUUCAAGCCAAGCUUUAAAUUUGGGACAACUCUUCUUGAUGUGUCCUUUCUUCUUGCAAAAGAAGCACUUGAUAUCGCUCUUAUUAACUUGAUUAAAAUGUGUCUUUUGCUUUCCUUUACCUGUCUUGCCUGGUUUCUUUUCUUAAGUCACCAAAUGUGCACUUUCAAUCCUUUCUUGAUUUAGUCUCCCUUCCUCUUGCACACACAUGGUCAAACAUUCAUUGAUAGACCGUUUUUCCUUAUGUGUGUUGUAUGAAAUCUUAAAAGGUCCAUACUCAGAUGGAAGAGAAUUAAGAAUGAAGUGAGCCAGAAAUGACUUAGACAUCUCUAAUGACUUAAGUUGAGCAGCAAUAUCCCUCAUUUCCAUUAUGUGCUCAUGCACUCCUUUGGUGCCAUUAAACUUCAUAGAACACAUCUUUGUCAUUAAGGUGCUAGCCAAAGCCUUGUCAGAAGCCUCAAACUGUUGCUCAAUAGCCUUGAGAUAUUCUUUCACCUUAGCACAUUCAAAAAUUGAACCACGAAUACUUUUCCUAAUACUAGGCUUGAUAAACAUCAAACUUAAGCGAUUAGAUCGCUCCCAACGUUCAUAUGAUGCUUUCUCAGUUUGGGUACUUGAUUCCGUAGGAACCAGUGGCUCAUUCAUACGAAGUGCUAAAUCAACUUCAAGCAAUUAGCAAGCGUCUUCUCUUAAGGUUGUUAAGUGUCCCUUCAAUACCUCAUAUUUAAACACUUAUUUUAGCCCUUUUUAAUACUGAUUUGAUGUUGGCAAGAAGCCACUACAACUUCAUGUGGGCCUCAAUGGUUGGUCACUCUCAACCACAUAUUCAAUAACUCACUCACCUAUUUGUUUCAUCUAUAGGUUGGACAUGCCACUACUAGUUCCCACAAUUUGCCAUAGUGGAAGACUAUUAUGAAAAUUUUAGCUGUAGUUUACCCUUAAUUAAGUCACUAAUCAAUCCUACUAAAUAUUUUAGCUGUAACCUACCCUUAAUUAAGUCAUUAAUCAGUCCUAUUAAAAAAAAAUUCUUCAAAUUGGUUCUACAUGAUGAAGACUAAGCAAAUUCAUUACUAUUAUAUUAUUUAUUAGUUUAUUUAAAAUAUGAAAUUUGUAAAAGGGAUAAUGAAAUAACUCUAACUUUUGCUAGUUUUAUUACAUUACACUAUAAGUUUAUCAUUUUUGUUUAAUUAUUAAAAUAUUUUUAAAUAUUUUUAAAUAUUCACACUUGUGUUUCAUGUUACCAUUAAAAUUAGUCACUAGUAAUAUAAUUUAUGACUUCGAUAUAUACUUAGCUUUUAAAAUUUUAUUUUAUAAUAUGGUUUAAUUUAUAAUUUUGAAAUAUGUCUUUUAUAUAUUAGGAGAUUCCAUUAUAUGUGGUUUAUUUGGUAAUCCAUGAAAACUCGUGGGAAUCCAUAGAAACUUUAGUUGUCAAUGAGUUUAGUAACUACCAACCUAACUUUGAAUCGAGUUUAGCAUAGGUUGGACAUAUUGGUAAGUAGGUUUGGCUUGGUUAGCCAACCCUAGCUAAUUGGUUGCAAAUAUUAUUCAACAAAUAAUCAAAGACUUCAAAUGCAAUAACUAAUUUAGUUCUAUUUUUAAUUCUUCUUUACCAUAAUUAAUCAACUCACUUGUAACAUUGUUAAGGUGACUAUUUAAAACCAUAUAACAAUUUGGUUAAUUUACAAACAUACUAUUCUUUGCUAGGUUAUUUACGGUUUUUAAGAACAAUUAACACAUUAAAUUAUUUAAAAAAUUAUUAUCAAAUUUAAAUUUUUUUAAACUUUUAAUGUUAUGUAUAAAAAAAUUAAAAUUUUAAAAAUAUAAAUUAUUAUUAUUUUUUCUUUUUCUUUCUAAAAAUGAGAAAAUAGGAAGAGCAGGUUAUUGGGUAAUUUGGUAUAUAUGAGUGUAUUGUUAAAGAAACAUUAAGAAGUGUAGUCACAGUAAAUUAUAUAUAAUCCUAAGUUCAAAAUUUGUCACUAAUGAUACUUUGAAUUUACUCUAUGCUGGUUGUUGCAGCGUUAUUAGCACCGCGAUAUUUGGGCUCCAUGGAGAGUUCUAAGGGGGUCUUCAUGGAUGACAUUUAAGAGUGUACCCUGGACAUUACACUUCAAUAACCUGUAAAUAAUAAUAACAAUAAAAUAAUAGUAAUAAUAAUAAUAAUAAUAAUAAUAAUAAUAAUAAAUGGUAUAGAAAGAACAUUUUGGAGGGAUUAUUGUCGAAGGUCGGUAUGCUCACGUCUUUCCCGUCGAAAGUUUGCCUUCACCAGCUGAAGCUGCUUUCACAUCAUCAGGUGCGUCAUUCACACUCUUCUCUAUUUCAUUUUUACGCUUCUUAUUUAUUUCUUGGAUUUAUUUUUUGUGUUUGUUUCUUCAAUUUCCAAUUCUCUCUCACAAUCCUCUUGUUUCAAUCCAGGGUUUCAAUCCCAGCAUUCCUAGGGUUCCCACAUUCCACAAACUCAACCAUUUCUCCCAAUUCCACCACUAUCAUCGUCAUCUGCGUUUCUGCUCAAUCAAUGGCCAUGCUGGCGUGAGUCUGCUCUCCCAAUUCUGCAAAAUCUCUGUUUUUUUUUUUUUUCCUAUUUACAUGCGCAAGCUAUAGGGUUUUUCGAUUUUAUACAGAAAUGGGGAUUUCUCACAUAAGCUACUAUGUGGAAAUAUUGCUGAAAUAUUAUUAUAAAAAUUAUGAAAUUAAAUAGGGAAGUAUAUUUUAAUUGCAUUUCUGUAAUCAAUACUCAUUGAGGCAGUUAGGAUGUUAGUGGGAUUAUGGUUGUAGUUUGGUGUUGGAAUGACAUGCUGAGAUGAUGCACAUGUCAACUAGUAAGAAAUUUUAGUAUGAUUUGCUAGUUCAUAAACAUUUGCUCGGUUAGAUAAUAGAGUUAGGGCAAUGUUAAUUGGUGGGUGAAAAAUAAGUAUAUAUAUAUAUAUAUAUAUAUAUAUAUAUAUAUAUAUCCGAGAAUUUUAUGUGUUUCAACCAAAAAUAAGUCUAUUCCCUCAGCCACAUAACACUAAAUUAUUGGAGAUUUAAAAAUAUGGGUGUUUCCUAGAACUUGGAUAGAAGUACCUUGCAAAAAUUUGAAGAGCUCAAAAAGAAAAACAGAAGACCAAAGUUCUUCUCAUUUAAGGGUGGCAUGGUCCUGAGGAAGCCCAAAAUUGAAGCUUCUGACAACGGUAGAAUAAUAAAUUGAUACCUAUAAAUAUGGAAUUUGGCAUAAAAUCUAUGAAAUAAUUUUUAUCCAUACGUAGAAUUGUAAAUAGUUUUCUGCCUCUAAGCUUGCCUCAAGCAGCAAGUGGUGGGUUGGGAGGGGCAGGUUUGAAAUUGAAUUCUAUUUAUCGGUAGAAAAAAAAAAAAUUCCAUACUAAUAAAAUUUUUUGCAUAGUUUUCUACAAUUGGUUCAUUCAAUGGCAAAUGACAAACUUUGUUGCUUUAUUUUAAUAAGCAUUACCUAUAAAGUUCCAAAUUUUGAAAAUUAUUUUGCCUAUUAUUUUAAUUUUCUUAGUGUAAGAAAAUUAAAAUUCCUUUUACACUAAUUUCUAUUAGACUCAAAGACCUAAAGGAAACUUAAAUUUAAUAAUAUAAAAGAAGGUAUUUUUUAAUUGCUGUCAGGAUUUUCUUAGUGUAAAAGGAUGGAACCUUAAUUUCUAAUGACUGAUGUAAAUUAUGAUAUAUUAAGAAAUUAGUUAUACACCUCAAACCUCAAUAGACGUAGUAGUCAAUUCAUAAAAACAUUGGCUUUUCUAACUCAAAUAAGAGAAGACAUUGGAAAGGACUUCAUAAAAUGUGUAUUACCUUAAGGAAAUUUUGGAGUGGGUUUGUGAGUAUAUUGUGAGUGUUGUCUGACGACGAUCUGACUGACCAGAAAGUAUUGGGAGAUGGGGAAGGUGACCGGAAUGAAACACGGUCACCGGAAGGUUUCCCGGAGUUGAUGACACGGGAAACAGGAAAGAAGGUUUCCCGGAGUUGAUGACACGGGAAAUAGGAAAGAAUUAGGUUUUCUUCCAGUCGCCGGCCGUAGAAGUGCGCGUGGCCGGCGCGUGGAGGGUUUUCUGGCUCUGAUGCUUUUGAAAAAGUUGGAGAUCUCCUCCAGGCGCUCCUCUUGGUGUGGUCGGUGUCGGAAAAAUAUGUCGCCGGAAAGUUCGUCGGAAAAUUUCGCCGAAAAAUUUCGCCGGCGGUGAGUGUUGUCUGACGACGAUCCGACAGAGCCCUAAUACGGCUUCAGAUUGCGGCGUGGCACCACCGAAAAAGGGAGACGGCCUCAGAUCGCGACGUGGUACCACCAGAAAGGUAGAAGAACACUUCCCAAGGCACGUGCAGGGAUUGGGGUGGAGAGAAAGUAGCCGGAACUUCGCCGGAAAGGCUGUUUGGAGGGCUGACGGAGACAAAAAUCCCCAAAAGAGGUACGUGCAGGGCUCGGAUGGGAGAACCAGGUAGGUAGGGAUGCUGGUCGGCGGCAGGCGAGGCUGGAGGAGGAGGCGCGUCGCCGGAAAAGGCCUCACGCGCCGGCGCGUGAGAUUCAGUCGCCGACCGUAUUUUUUUUUUUAUUUUUUAUUUUUAAAGGAGAAAAACCUUAAUUCUCAUUCAUGUGAAAAACUACUUACAAUUGAGAGAUAUAUAUAUAUACAAGGCUAGGAGUCCUAACUACCAUACAUGUGACCUAUAUUAACAAGGAAAGAUAAUAUACUAUAAAUACAUUAUAUUCAACAUAUAUAAUUCAAGCUCUUCAUCCAAAAUCUUGUCACAGGCUUUUAAAAUUGUAAAUUACUUAGAAAAUGGUUUCUAAGCCCUGCAAAGGAAGAUUUGGAAGGUUUUAUAGUCUGAACCUAUUAUGGCCUGCUACAGGCUAACUUGUACAGGUGUAGUGCUGAUUGGAGAUGGGUACACGUGUUAUGCAUUCUGAUAUGUUGGUGUGUUUUGGUGUCAAUUUCUGGUGAUACCAUUUCUAUUGGUUGAUAUAAAUUUUUCUGUUUUUUUCUAGAAAUUAAAAUUAAGAUUUGAUCUUGGCCUAUACUUGCAUGUUUUUCUGGGUAUAAUUUGCUUACUACCAGUGUUUUACUUUAAUAUCUUUGGAAAUUCUUUCUAUGUAUGACUGGCAUGUUAGUGUGUCCAAUGCUAAUUCUGGCAUGUGUCCACAUGUCCAUACUAUUCUAUAUUCUGGUAUGCUGAUGAAUGGAAUUAUAUGCCUUCUUGCUAUGGGACUCAUUGUAAAGCUAUUACGUUUUCCUUAUUUGAAAACUCACCGAGGCUUGAUGUUCAAGGCCUCAUUUUAAAUGGAAAGUAUGUUUACCUAAUCCUCAAGUAAAUGGAGAUGGUUUGUCUACACUAAGAACAUGUCAUAGUAAAUAUCGCCCCACAAAAAGCAGACACGCAUUCAGAGAUACACAAAUUUGCGGUAGCUAUGUCUAGAUUAGUUACUUGUUUGAUCCUAUAUAUGUGCUAGAAUGCAACUACAUAUCCAUUGAUCAUAGGUUUUUUUCUCAAUAUAUUCCUUGUUCCUUUCAUUUAGUUUUUCAUUUGUGGAAAACAAUUGAGUGUGAUGAUAUGCUAUUUGUUCAUUUGUUUGUCUUCUGUUUUUUUCAUUGAAUUUUGAAUAUUGCUUUUUCAACAUUGCCUUUGUUGUAGGUUAGGCUUCUGGCAUGUCAAAUGGUCAUGACUACUCUGCCAACCAUGAAGGUAUCAAUAUCUUUCAAAUGAUAACUGGAAAAAUGGUGUAGCUUUUUGUGAUACCAUAUUUUACAUUUGAUAAACUUGAUAUUUCUAAAAAUCUACUUAUACAUAUUUUUAUAGACUCAAGUGCAAAGGGCAAAAAUGGUGAAGGAGAACUGCACACAUCAAAAGAGUACUUCCUACUUGCCUUACAAUGCUAUUAGUCUAUGUUAUAGACAACUGAUUUAUUAAUGAUGGGAUGGCAGUUUAUAUAGUUGUUUUUGUGUACCCAUGUAUUUUACAUUUUACAUAAAAUGUUUUGACUGAUUGACAGAGUCAGAAAGGGAAUUUUAUCUGGAGGCUACUUAAUGGGAUAACAUGCUAGGGAAGAAUACAUUGUGUGGAUUAUAAAUAAAACAAGUGUGGGUGAUAUGCAGUCACAAUUCUUAACUUUACUGUUUGAACUGUUUUGAAUGAAUUUCAUUUAUAGCGGUAUAUUCUUCUAUUCUUUAACAUGGAAUUUUUUUGGAAACAACAUUGUUUAAUAAUUUUCUUUUAGUGUACUUCUAAUGUAAUGGUUGUUGGAAUGUUUACCCAUUUAUAUGCAUUGAUGGACCAGGUUGAAGUCCUUGUCUCCCUGUUUAGAACUUGUAGAGUCAUUUAAGAUAGAACUUGGAUGGUUUCUCUCUUUAUGAGCCAAUAUUUUAGGCUUUAGCUGUAUUUUUCAAUUUUAUUGUCUUACCUUUACCAAACUAUCAUGAGGUCUGUGCUGCUAAUAGGCAUGUGGAAGAAGCACUAAUGGAUGCGAAACAAGUGAAUGAGAGAUUUUAAAUAUGAUUAUUCAAUGUGUAUGGAAAUGACUAAAAACAUGCAAUUCUCUGAAGUUGAUAAUUUGCCAUAUGAUCCGCAUCUGAAAAUCCCUCACCAAAACUUAAUCAUAACUUAAUUUCUCCCUGCAUUCGCAGCUCAUGGAUCCUCAAUGAUGUUUUACAUCACAUUCCUUGUAUGCUCAAAAAUAUUGUCAGUUUCAACACUGCACAAGGGACAGAAGAAUGAUUGAGAAUUUUCUGUCUUAAGUCCACUACAUCCCACCAAAUGGCAUAACUUUGUCCAGCCACCCCAUGCCGGUAGUGGAUGAAAUUUACCUGCAAUUUCUCAAUAAUGGAGACAAGCCAUUUAUUGAUCCACGUGUUUGUCAUUCCAAAGCAAGUAGUGAAACUUCUUGAAUGUGUCUGACCAGCCUCUAUGACAUAUGCACAUACAUGCAUUUAUCUAUACAUAUAAUAUGUCUGUAUUAUACAUGGAAAUCCCAUGUUUCUUUUCUUUCCCUCUUUUUUUUUCCUCCUGUUUUUCUUUUCUUUUUUGUAUCUUCCUUUUUCACAUUGGGAGUUUGAAAUUCAAUUUCAAUGCAAGGAUUUGGUCGUAGUCUAGGUGCUAGCAGUGUAAUAGCCAAACUAUUGCAACAAUGUCUUUUCUUUCUUUUUCUAUGUAACCUUAUGAAUUUAAUGUAGUUUGUUAACAUUAUUGGAACAUGACACAAAAGAUUCAUUUUGUCUACUGCAUGAUUAUGCUUUAGACCUUUUCUCAGUAAAUAAACUAUUGUUUGGAUUAGUGAUCUUGUCCCAAUCAUUUUAAUUUCUCUUCUACUACUGAAUUUCAUGCAAACAAUCUGUAAGAAGUGAUACCUCAAUCCUUUUGCCCUUUGUAUGCUGAAAUGCAUGUCUACUUACAUUGAGAGUUCAUUCUUGCUUAACCUUUCAGUCUUCUAAAGAAACUGAAGAGAUAUGGAAUUUCUGGAAUAUUAUCCUAUGGACUCCUGAAUACUGCAUACUAUCUUACAACGUUUCUCUUGGUAUGGUAAGUACAUAAUUCAUUCAUGUAAAUUUGUCAAGGAUGAGGUAUCUGUGACUUGUGAGUAUGCAUAGCUGCUGAGCAUUAUUCUUUUGAAAUUUAGGACUAUUUGAUUUAUUGUUGUUGUAUAUAAUUGAUGAAAAAAGUGUCUGGCCUAAAACUUAUGAUUUUCUUUUUGUUCAGUCAUUUAUUGUCUUCAGCCAUUUAUUCUUUGGUUGAUUAAGAUGCAAAUACUUGGUUGUUGCACAAAAAUGAAUGUUUUUCUCACGCCUUGUUGGACCAUUUACUUGUGCAUAGUCACCUGAUGAUGUUUCUACAAGAUAAUUUUUUUUAAGAGAUUAGUACCUAUUAUUCAGCCUCUUUAUGCUCAUACCAUUUUCAUUGAUCUAAUUAAUAAAAUAGCAAUAAAAAAGUUUAGUUCAACAUUAGGAACAACACUACAUAAACUGUAAAUGUCUAAAUGAACAAGAUGAAAAGGACUAGUACUCCUCUUAUUGAUUAUAGAACAAAAAGGACUAGAACAACACUAUGGUGAUGCUAUUUGCUUGACUCACAAACUUGGUGCUUUAACUUGGAGUCUAAUAUAACUAGAAGUCCCAUAUGCUAAAGAUGUGAAGUGAAAGGUGUGCCACUACAUAGAAGAAAUGGAAGUAUGUAGAGCAAUUGGAGUAAGAGGUGGGCCGAUAUGGUGAUAAAUUCCAUUUACUUCAUGCCCUCCACCAAUUGUCUUGUUCAUUAAGAGAUCUUGAAAUACACUAUGGGAAGGGAAGGAAUGUUGCAAAACAAUUAAGUGACUUGGUUAAUUUGCUUAGAGAUAAAAGAUUUAUAGGAACCUUCAAAAGGGAGAUUCCAAGUGGAAGCGGAAUUUUCUAGAUUUUCUUGAAUUAAUUAAAAGGGCUUAAAAUGCUCUUUUAAGGGGGGUGAGGGUGGGGGUGACUCAAGGGAGACGAGGUGGCAUGGGCAUGGCCACACUUAGGGGCUUCUGUGCAAGUCCUCAAACAUGAGCAAGGCACAUGGGCAAGCCUUGCUAGCACCCAUACAUGGGCUCCAUGACAUGUGAUGGUGUGCAACUCAAGGUUGCAAUGACAUGGGGUGCUAUGCAGUCUUCCCUUCCCGACGGUAGCAUGAGGGGGAAAUGCCUUGUGCAAUGAGGUGGCUUGGCACAAGGGCACAAUGCCUUGUGCAUAGAGAUAAGGGAAGCCGACUCAGAUGUGAUGCCUAAUGCUUAGCACAAAGGCACAAUGCCUUGUGCGUAGAGAUGAGGAGUCAUGGGUGCAAUGCCAUGACUCGUUGCUGCACCAAGAAGAGGGCUUGGGCAUGGCAUGAUGCCAUAACAACAGCUAGGCAGAGCAAACUUGGGCAGGUUGCCUCGGCAUGGACGUGAUCCAGAUGCGGGAACACAUAUGAGCAUGACUGACACGCUCAAGGAACAACAAGGGGCUACAGCCAAAGGAAAGAUUGGCACCAAGGAAAAUUGCUAGAUCUGUAGGCUAAGAGAGGGCUUGGCAUGCACACUAGUUGCAUAGAGACACAUGUAGUAGGCUGCCUAGAGACGCUAUAGCAAGCUGAUCGGAUGCAUCAGCUGAUUCAAAUGCAUGAAUGGACUGACUCAAGGCACAAGAGUGGGUAGACUUCAGGCAGAACACAACAAAGAUGUCUUGGCAUUGGGACAAGCUUAAGGAAGAUGUAUUGCACCACAAACCAGGGAAUUGAAGGGCUGAUACGUGGCCUGAUACAAGAGGUAGCAGCACAAGGAGUUUCAAAUGAAUGAGGAAUGGGCCGAAGACAUUUGAAAGUUCAGAGUUGAAUUCAAAUUGUGAUUGUAAUUUGAGUUUGAAUAGGAGUUCAGAUUCUUAUUUUAAUUGUAGUUUGAGUAGAACUAGGAUUCCUUGCUCCUUAUCAAAUAGGGAGCGGUUGGUGUCACACCUAUAAAAGGAGGACUGGAGUGCCCUUUUAAUUAUCAUGCAAUCUGGAGAUCAUAGAGAAUAUACAGAGGUAUAUUGAGAGGGAGAACUUUCUUAAAACAUAGCUUGAGAGAGAGCAUGAACUCACCAAAGAGAUUGUGGAAGUCUUGUUGAGCUAUGUGUUGUAUUGUUAUUUAGAGAAGAAAUAAAAUACAAGUUAGGGAUUGAGCUCCAUAGCCUUGUGUGUCUUCAUGAGUUUUUUCUUGAUUGCAAUCUCAUGUGGGUUUGAGUAUGUUGGCUUAGAGGGGCUUCUAAGCGCUGCGUGGAUGCGAAAAAUUUGUGGGAAAAUUCGUGCCCAUGACAAAUACCAUCCCAAGUCAUUUAAACUUGAUAGAUUGAAGUAACUUACUUGAAUAACAAAAUGAGCAAACUGCAACUUCCAGUGGAAAUCAAGUUUGCAACUAGGAGUUAAUAGUUUGGAGACUGCUUUAAUACCAUUUUAAGGAGAAGAGAAUGUACUUACUCUUCUUUCAUUCUUUUUUAUUAAAUAUUAGAUACUGAUAUGAAAUUUUUAUUUGUUCAAAAUUUUAAAACAACCCUAUUCUUGUGCUGUACAAUGUAUAUUAUCGUAUAGAGUAUUGGAAAACGGAAUUGCAUGAAACAAUUAAAUUCAAGACUUUGCAAUUUCUCAUCCCCUCCUCCCCACCUUACCGACUGUACGCAUUACCUCUGGUUCUUAUGGCCAGUGUAAAUGACAUUGCCAACAUUCAAGUCAAUGCUUUUGUUAUUGACCUUCCCAGCAUUGUGGCUGUUAUUCCCAUCUGAAUUGGCUUUUGAUCACUUAUUGAUGGCAUAUUCAACUAUAGCAUGUCUAAAAAUGAACUUAUGGUGGAUCUCUUUAUUUGGCAAAGGUUAUAACUUGGCUUUCUGGAUCUGGAAUGGGGAGUCCUUGUAUUUGGUUCCCUUCAUUAUGUCAUAUAAAGAAGCAUUGCAUUUCCAUCUGCAUUUUUAUCAAGCUUAUAUUCAUGGUAGAAAAAAUUUAAUCUGAUAUACUGGGUCUUAACUUGCUUUAGUGGAUAUUAUUUCAAUGUGAUGUUAGUUGCACAUGAUGGAAUACAAAUGUGACAUCCAUGCCCCUCAAUCUAGAGUUAUUAGAAUGCUGAUCUAGUUCAUAAACAUCAUGCUUAAUUAUUAAUACUGGAAACCGACAUAACUGGGAUUCAUGGCUAACAAUUGCAUAUUGUUGCAUAUGGACAAAUUCAGUUUGUUAAUUUUUUUUUCUUUUUUGUAUUUUAUGUUAUGUUAUUUUAUUUAUUUAUUUAAUUUUCUAAUCAAAUACCUUAUAAUGUAGUUUGAAAUAUGCCUUGGUGUUUUACCACAUCCUGCAGUCUCUAUCAUAGGUGUUCAGAGUAGAUUUCAAAUAACCAGUAUAACUCUGAAUUCACUAUGCUGCUUCUAGGUUUUAUAUUGCUCCAGCACCAGGAAGGAUGGGUUAUUUGGCGGCAGUUGAAAGGUAAAAACUUAUUCCAAAAAGUUUCUUUUUGCACAAGUUUUUCAAAAUAUCUUGACAUAUGGAAUCCAAUUGGCAGAUUUGUCAAAAUCAUGGCUAUGGUGUGGGCAGGCAGCCAGGUCACUAAACUUGUCAGAGCUGGAGGGUAAGCAGCUAAAUUCUGUUUUAAAUCUUUAGUUAGCGUAACAGUUUAUUGGGAUAUUGCAAUGCUCUCAACACAAAAUAACCCAAAAUCAGUGAAUUUCCCUAGUUCAGAGAUUUAUGCUCGAUUCCUUCAACAAUGAGUUUUUAGGCCUAUCAAUUCUCUCAUAUAUGUUUUCUGUUCAUUUUCUUUCUUAUCCUUGUAACUUUCAACUGGGUUUAUGAUGAUUGUUUAGUCUAUCAUGCUGCUGCUUAUUUGAAUCAAAAUGACAAUUGAAGAAUUAAAAAAAAGGGUCUUCAGGAAAUGGUGGCAAUUUUUGAACCUAGUGUUGAUGAUGGGCCUUGCAUUUUCAUUUUUACCGAGGAGGUUAAACUUACUGCUAUCCAACCCAAUCUUUUGACCUCUGUAAUCCAAAUGACUCCUUAUCCUUUUUUAUUCUAUAUUUCUUUGAUGAAAAGGCCUUUUAGCGGCGUUUGUAAAUAAAAUAUUAAAUCAUUCGUACAUGCUUUUUCAUUACAAUGACAUCUGGGGAUUAUUUGCUGCAGCCUCCUGGUUUCCAGUAGACUUGUUUCUAUUUAUUUAUUCAAAUUUUCAUUUGGGUUAGAAAAUAGUAGAAAAAUGCUUUUUCCCCCUUGGGUUUUAUGUGAUUUUUGUAGAAGUGCUUCUCAUGCAGGGCCCUUGCACUUGCACCUAUUGUAGAUAGAGGAUUGUCAUGGUUUACAUUAAAAUUCAAGUUUGAGUCUCAGGGAAAGGUAAGUAAGUCAUACAUCAGAUUUUGAUAUUGUUCUCACCUGCUUAACGAUUCCUUACAUGUCUCUAGUUACAUUUCCUCUGCAUCCAGGCUUUCACGGCGAUUGUCGGAUUUUGUUUCGGGCUAGCUCUCAUUCUAUUCUUCAUUGUGACAUUGCUUUGGGCAUGACACAUUUUUCAGUAUUUUUCUCAAUCAUCCAGGCGGAGAACCUCUUUCAUUAACUAGUAUUUCUGAAACUCAUAAAUUGUUAUUCUUUUUCAUAGUUCGGUCAGUUAUCUCUCAUCUUCAUUUCACUAUGAAUUGUGGGAUCCAAGAAAUCUCACAAUUUAGCCUAUAUUUGGAUACAAUUUUUAUUUUUUAUUUUUAAAAAUAGAGUUUUAUAUAAAAUAUAGGAAUUUUUAUUAAAAAAAAAGUGAAUUUCUUGUGUAUUUGAAAAUAUUUUAAUUUUUAUUUUAUAUCAAAAUUUUAAUUUUAAAAAUAAAAAAUAGAACAUGUAUCCAAACAUAGCUACAGUUUCUAUUUGAUUAAUUUAGUUUUACUUGAAAUUUGUAUAGUAUUAUUACAUCAAAGCUCUACUCAGUUGUAGAGACAAAUUUUAAUUAUGAUAAGUUAUUAAUCUUGCAUGAAAAUUAAAAUAAAGUUUAGUGUUUGGUUGAAUUAAAAUAUAAUUUAUUUACAAAGAUUAAUGAAGAAAAAACAAAAUCAAGAAAAUUUUUUUUGUUUAUCCGAGAUUGGAAAAACACUGAUUGGAUCCAUUGAAAUAUGUUUUUCUAUCAUAUAUUUGUUUCAACUAGUAUUUUGGAUGUUUUUGUUUGAGUUGUAUGAAAUGAAAUUCUCAUAUAUGGUUCUCUAAUGGAAGGAAUUAUGCUUACUGUUUAGUACAAAUAGCUAUCCGAAAGGAAGAAUAAUUUGUACUGACUAAUAUCUUUAUAUAUUAUAUACUUGUUCAAAUUUAUCAUAUCUGUUGUGUCAUAAAAAUAGAAUUGGUUGAAGUUGAUCAAAUAUAAAAUAAAGGACCUAAGGGGCUUCCAUUUAUAUUUCUAUCUAUUUUUGUGAUGCUACAUUUAUAAAUGGAAAAAAAAUAAAACGAAAAGUUUAGUGUUUUGUUUCCUUGAAUUUAAUGAGGUUACUUUUAUUUUUUAUCAAAUUUUAAUUUCUUUUUUCUUUUAAUGUAUUUAACUCAAAAAGGGUCUUUGCAUUUAUGUGGUAUAUGAAGGUGGACAAAGUAUAAUAAAAAACAUUUUGAUUGUAUUUGAUUUUUGAAAAAUACUAAGGAAAGAAAAAAAAAAUAUAAAGAAAAAUGAUUUUUUAAUGUUUGGUUGUUCUGUGAAAAAUAUAAAAUAAAAUUAAAUAUAAUUAAAAUUAAUCAAAAUUUUAUGUAUGUUUAAAUUAUUUAAUCUUUAUAUGGAUGAGUUCAAAUAAAUAAAAUGAGUUUGAAGUAACAAAUAAAAAUAAUUUAUCGACUUUUAAUCUAUUUUUUAUUUUUCCUUUCUUUUUACUUUUCCUUUGUAUUUUUUUUUCCUUACAUUUUUCCUCAGAUUUUUCGAAACCUAACAUGGCCUUAAAUUUUGAAUAUUUUUAAUUCUUUUAUACUUUAUAUGAAAGAAGAUUAAGGUUAGGAAGUAUUGAAGAAAGAAAAAAGAAAUGCUUGGGGGGAAUUCAAAUUCUUUUAUGUGGUUCAUAUGGAAAGUCGGGGGAAAAAUAAAAUGCAAUGAAAAAAUGUUUAAAUUUUAAGCAAUUUCAAAUUCUUCAUUGUUAAUUAUUAUUAUUAUUAUUAAUAUUAGUAGGGUGAUUUAGAGGUCUUUUGCGCUUUCCUUUGCUUUUCUUUCAUUUUCUCAUCAAUCAAUUAUGGUGUCUGGCAAAUAACGUGGACAUCUGGGUCCACCAUCAUCAAUGAUUCCUUUAGGUCUUUUGCAUUUUGGUAAUCCAAAAUUAGUCAUUUGCAAUUUGGUGGUAUCGCGAUACAAAUUGAUAGCUAUAUUCCUAUUGAAAAGAAUAUUUAACUAUUAGAUCAGAAGUAUGUUCGAAUUGUUAUCAAUAAAAGUGUCAUUUAAAGAAAUGUUUUUGGAAGAUGCUUUUUUAAGGAAAUAUUGUAAAUAUUUUUUUUUAACUUUUUUAAAAGUUUAAUUUUUAUUUAAAAAUAUUUUUUAUAUUAAUAGUGUUUUAAUUAAAAAAAUGUGCAUGUCUGAACUCUUGGUUAAAAAGUCAACAAUCCAUAUUUAGCUUUUAGGCAGGAUGAAAAUGUCAUAACCUUUGACACGAUACAUAGAGGGGAAAUAUCGGAGCCACGAUAUAUCGCUGCCACGUCAUCAUCCCCAUUUCUUUUUUUCCCCAAAAUACUUAUAAGAGACCAAGACCCAAUACGCACUCUUCCCAGCCUAGCGCGUGCUCAGACCCAACAUGCAGCGUAGGUCCAACGCCAGCCCGGCGUGCUCUGCACGCAUGUUAGCCCUCCACCACUUCAAUGUUUAAAUACACCUUUUUGGUGUCAUGCACCGUCGGUGUGGGAUUGCAAGAACUAGAAUUUUUAAAAGGCAAGGGAAAAUCAAGAGGAAUGGAACCAGUGAUGAAAGAAUCGAAAAAUAUCUCGAAAUAUCAGCAAUAUUUUGGAUAUCGGAGGUGGUCGAAAUGAAAUCGGCCACUGAUUAUCGAUUGGGGGAUUUUUUUUUGGGUAAAAAAUCGAAAUUCUCGUCGAAAAAUCUGAUGUGAAGAGCACGCGCUCGUGGAGGAAAUUUUCCUCCAAAAAUCACCGAUUUUUUCACGAUUUAUGAGCGAUUUCUUUGAAAAGUCACCAAUUUUUUGGGUGAUGACAUUUUUCCCUGUUUUUUUUUAAUUAUCCAUUUUAAAUUUAUAUUAUCAUUUUAUUUUAUAUUAUCAUUUUAUUUUUGACUACUUUUCAUAUUUAUUUCAUUAAUCCUCUUUUUAAAAAUUAUUAUCACUUCACUCUUAAUUUUUUUUUUUUUAUAUUUAUCCUUUCCAUUUUAUUUAAUUUUAUAUGUUUUUAUUUUAAAAUAUUAAAAAUAUAAUUUGACCCAAAAAAAUUGCUACAAUAUAAAAAAUUAAGGAAGUUCUAAUAUUUUAUAAAUUAAAAUUAAUUUGAUAAGAUAAAUUGUUAAUAAUUUUAAUUGUUUAAAUAAAUUAAUGUUAAUAAAAAAAAGUUGUUAUCACAUAUUUUUAAUAAAAUUUUAAAAAUUAAAUCUCAAAUAAAAUAUUUUAUAUAAAUUAAUUUAAUAUUUCAUUUAAAAUGUAAUAAAACAUAUUUUAAUAAAAGUAUUUUAAAAAAUUUUAAAUAAAUGAAUAUAAAUGUAUUAAAUAAAUUUAAACUAAUUUUUUUUAUAAAAAUUUGAUAAAUAUUAUCUUAAUUAUACUUAUGUCAAUUACACUUACAAAAUAACUUUAAUACAUAAAAUAUUUCAUAUUUCUCCGAUAUAAUGGUGCUUACGGAACCAAGGGGAUUUGAGCCCCUACACUCAAGCUCAAACUUGCCCUUGGCCGUAGCUGAUUAAAUGUACAUAUUAUAUAUAUAUAUAUAUAUAAAUCCCCCACCAACACCAACCGAACAACCAUGCUUCAAUUGAUUAAUUUUAAUAUAUAAAUAUAUAUAUAUAUUAUAAAUAAAUUAAUUUUGGUUAUUAUGACUUUUAUAUAAUAAUUACAUAUAAAAUAAAUAUAAAUUUUUGAAUAAAAUUAUAAAAAUUUUAAAAUAAAAAUACUUAUACAAAUUAUCAUUAUUAUUUUUAUCAUUAAAUAUAUCCAAAAUAGAUUAAUAUAUAUGUUUUCAAGUUAUAAAAAUUAUAAUUAAAUAUCACAAUGGUACAUAUAUGAUAAUUUAUUUUAUAUCAUUUAAUAUAAUUGAAUUAAAUGGAUCACAAUUUUAAUAUUAAAUAUAUUUUAAAAUUAGACAUAUUAUAAUCAAAUAUCACAAUAUUAUUAUAAAAUAAUAUUUGAUGUAAUUUAAUAAUAAAUAUAUAUUUAAAAAAUUCAUAUUUUUUAUUGAUGCAUAUGAUAUUAUUAUCAAAUAUGAUAAAUUAUAUUACACAUAUAUCAAAUUCUUCAACAAAACAACUUUAAAAUGUUUAUUAUAUUUUUAAUUACAUUUCUACGAGGUUUUUCUUAUAUUUCCAUUAAUUUUGAUCAAUUUUAGGUCUGUCGAUAUUUUUUUUCAAAAUAUAUCUCCAAUAUUUUCGAUAUAUCCAUAAAAUCGAAGUACCGAUAUAUCCGUGAUUACAAUAUUUUCAUCCUUGCUUUUAAGUUCAUUGAACUUUAAGUGCACUAAUGCAACACAUUUAUCUUUCUUUGGACCUUUUAUUUUUAUUUAUUUAUUUUUGUUUUGUAUUAUUCCAAUUGUGGUUGUCAAAAUAGUUAAAAAAAAUGUUUUUAAAAAUUAUUUUAUGAUAUUUUAUAAAACAAGGCUAUGAGAAGAUGAAGCAUUCUUAACUAAUUUUCUACAUUUUAAAAAUAAUUUUUAUCUAGAUUAUUUUAUUUUUUAUAUCUAUAUAAUUACUUUUUUAAAAUAAGUAAAAAUAACUAAAAGGAUAUGAUCUAAAUAUACCUUAUUUUUUAUUUUUUAAAACAAAAAUUAUCUUUUAUUUUCUAAUUAUUAAAUAUAUUUUUCAUUUUUUUAAAAGGUUUGGCAUCACAUUUUUUUUUUCCUUUGCUUUUCUUUCGUUUUCUCAUCACUCAAUUAUGGUGUUUGGCAAAUAAUGUGAACAUCUUGGUCCACCACCAUCAAUGAUUCCUUCAUGUCUUCUAUAUUUUGGUAAUUCAAAAUUAGUCCUUUGAGAUAUGGAAUAGCAACGAAAAAUCCUACUAGUUUGUUUUGUUGUUUUUGCUCCACCCGCCUUACAAAACUAUGUUUGGCAUCACCAUUUUUGCUUUUUCUUUGUUUUUCUUUUGUUUUCUCAUCACUCAAUUAUGGUGUUUGGCAAAUAAUGUGGACAUCUGGGUCCACCACCAUCAAUGAUUCCUUCAAGUCUCCUGUGUUUUGGUAAUUCAAAAUUUGUCCUUUGAGGUAUGGAGUAGCAAUGAAAAAUCCAAUUAGCUUGCUUUGUUGCUUUCGCUCCACAUCUUAUAAGACCAUGUUUGGCAUCACAUUUUUUGCUUUUUCUUUGCUUUUCUUUCGUUUUCUCAUUACUCAGUUAUGGUGUCUAACAAAUAAUGUGGACAUCUGGGUCGUCCACCAUCAAUGAUUCCUUCAGGUCUUCUGCAUUUUGGUAACUUUUUUUGAAAUUUUUUUAAUUUUUUAAUUACAUUAAAAUAAAUAUAUUUUAUAAAUAAUAAAAUUAUUAUGUUUUUUAUAAUUUAUUUUAUUGAAAAAAUUUAUUGUUAUUAUUAUUAUGUAUUAAAAAUAAAAAAAUUAAAAUUAAAUUAAAUUAAUUUUAAAAAAUAAUUUUAUAUAUAGUUAGGGUGGAACGGGACAAGGCAAUACUCAAACCCACCUUGAAUCCAAGGCAAUACUCAAACCCACCUUGAAUCCAUCUCGAAUUUUUAAAAAAAUCCCAAACUCUUCCUAAAAAUGAAACUUGCGCAAUGCCAUACAUAAGAGAUUUUGAAUUCAAAGUUAAAACAUGAAAACCUGAAUUAUUCUCCGAAUUUUUUAUAAUGAUUUAAAAUUUUUCAAGUUACUAGCUGUUCUCUUGCUUUGAUGAUCUCAAUAUUUGAAAAGUAAUGAAUUUAAAAGAAGGUGAAAACAAAAUUAUUAAUGGGUCUUAUUUCUUUCUCUCUCUCUCUUUUUUUUUUUUUUUUUACACAUAUCUCAAUUUAAAAAAAAAAUUAUGUAACCAUCCAAAGUUUUAACCACCAUGAUGUAGAAAACAACAAUUUUCAUAAUUUGUUAAAAAAACUCCCAAAUAAUGAAUCAUAAUAUUAGUUUAUAAUACAUGUAUAUAAUAAUGAAUCAAAUAAUAAUAUUAUCAUUAAAUAAUAAUAACCAUAAUAUUAAAAAUUUUAAUGUCUUAUGCAUAUAUCAUUGUUUACAUGAAAAUACUAAUAAACUUUAAUAAUAAUAAUAAUAUAUUAUUAAUAAUAAAUUUUAUAACAUUAGGAAUGAUAAAGUUAAAACAAAUAUUUGUGUGUAUAUGUCUACUAAUAAUACUACAAGAAGAAAGAAGAAAGAAGAAAGAAAUGCGUAGAUGAAAAAGAAAAAUACUGAAUGUUUGUCGAAGUGCCACCCACCGUCCACUUGCUUUUGUCUUGGGGAAAGCGCAUCCACCUUCCACUUGCUUUUCCUUUUCUUUUUCUCACCACUCAAUUAUAUGGUGUUUGACAAAUAUCUGGGCGGCUGGGUGCACCACCAAUAAUGAUUCCUCCAGCCAUUCUGCAGUGUGGUAAUCCAAACCCAGUCUUCUGCAGUUUGGUGGUAUCGCGGUAACAGACACCAAUCCUCUGAAUUCCUAUUGCAAAGCAACAGUCGACACAGAUAUGGCGGACGUCCUCCUCUCAGCUUCGCUUCAAGUUCUAUUCGAAAGGUUGGCUUCUCCAGAGCUCAUAAACUUCAUUCGGCGACGGAACCUUAGCGAUGAACUCCUCAGCGAGUUGAAGAGGAAACUCGUGGUUGUUCUCAAUGUGCUCGAUGAUGCGGAGGUGAAGCAAUUUUCCAACCCAAAUGUCAAAGAGUGGCUCGUCCAUGUCAAGGGUGCUGUGUAUGAUGCGGAAGACCUGUUGGACGAGAUCGCUACCGACGCUUUGCGUUGCAAGAUGGAAGCUGCUGACUCCCAAACCGGCGGAACUCUUAAGGCGUGGAAAUGGAACAAGUUCUCUGCUUCUGUGAAGACUCCAUUUGCUAUCAAAAGCAUGGAGUCCAGGGUCAGGGGCAUGAUUGAUCUACUGGAAAAAAUUGCACUAGAAAAAGUUGGGUUGGGGCUGGCAGAGGGUGGGGGCGAGAAACGGUCACCAAGACCAAGAUCACCAAUAUCCACUUCUUUGGAGGAUGACUCCAUUGUUGUCGGCAGGGAUGAAAUUCAGAAGGAGAUGGUGGAGUGGUUGCUUUCUGACAAUACAACAGGCGACAAAAUGGGGGUGAUGUCCAUAGUGGGCAUGGGCGGCAGCGGCAAGACCACGCUUGCUCGGCGUCUCUAUAACGAUGAGGAAGUGAAGAAACACUUCGACUUGCAAGCAUGGGUCUGUGUUUCCACUGAGUUUCUCCUUAUCAAACUCACCAAAACAAUUCUUGAGGAAAUUCGUUCUCCACCUACUUCCGCUGACAACCUAAAUUUGCUUCAGCUUCAACUCAAAGAGCAACUUAGUAACAAGAAAUUUCUGCUUGUUCUUGAUGACGUCUGGAAUUUGAAUCCUCGUGAUGAAGGUUAUAUGGAGCUUAGUGAUCGUGAAGGUUGGGAACGUCUACGAACUCCACUCCUCGCUGCAGCAGAGGGAAGCAAGAUUGUUGUGACCAGUCGUAAUAAAUCUGUUGCAGAAGCCAUGAAAGCGGCCCCUACUCAUGAUCUUGGGAAAUUAAGCUCUGAAGAUAGUUGGUCCCUGUUUAAAAAGCAUGCAUUUGGAGAUAGAGACCCGAACGCAUUCCUUGAGCUUGAACGCAUAGGCAGACAGAUUGUGGACAAGUGUCAAGGAUUGCCUUUGGCUGUGAAAGCACUCGGCUGUCUCUUGUAUUCUAAGGACGAAAAAAUGGAAUGGGACGAUGUGUUGAGAAGUGAAAUAUGGCAUCCGCAGCGUGGCUCCGAAAUUCUUCCGUCUUUGAUAUUAAGCUACCAUCAUCUUUCUUUACCUCUGAAGCAUUGUUUUGCUUAUUGUUCUAUUUUUCCCCAGGACCACCAAUUCAACAAAGAGAAGCUGAUUUUAUUAUGGAUGGCAGAAGGUCUUUUACAUCCACAACAAAACGAAGGAAGGAGAAUGGAAGAGAUCGGUGAGUCAUAUUUUGAUGAGCUUCUUGCCAAGUCUUUCUUUCAAAAAUCUAUUGGAAGAAAAGGAUCAUGCUUUGUAAUGCAUGAUCUAAUACAUGAAUUGGCUCAACAUGUGUCCGGAGAUUUUUGUGCUCGAGUGGAAGAUGAUGAUAAAUUACCAAAAGUAUCUGAGAAGGCUCACCACUUUUUGUACUUUAAUAGUGAUUAUAGCUAUUUGGUAGCAUUUAAGAAUUUUGAGGCUAUGACUAAAGCUAAAUCUCUUCGAACAUUCUUAGGAGUGAAGCCAACGGAACACUAUCCUUCUUAUACUUUGAGUAAAAGAGUUUUGCAAGAUAUAUUACCAAAAAUGUGGUGUCUACGCGUGUUAUCAUUAUGUGCAUAUGAGAUAACUGAUUUGCCUAAAUCGAUAGGUAAUUUGAAACAUUUGCGUUACUUGGAUUUGUCUUUCACGAGGAUUAAAAAAUUACCCGAAUCAGUAUGUUGUUUAUGCAAUUUACAAACGAUGAUGCUGGGAGGAUGUUCUAGACUUGAUGAAUUGCCUUCAAAGAUGGGAAAAUUGAUUUAUUUGCGCUAUCUUGAUAUUGAUGGAUGUAAUUCAUUGAGAGAAAUGUCAAGUCAUGGAAUUGAUCGAUUAAAAAAUUUACAAAGGUUGACUCAAUUUAAUGUGGGCCAAAACAAUGGAUUAAGAAUUGGAGAAUUGGGGGAGCUUUCAGAGAUUCGAGGAAAACUUCAUAUUUCAAACAUGGAGAAUGUGGUGAGUGUUGAUGAUGCAUCAAGGGCUAAUAUGAAGGAUAAAAGUUAUCUUGAUGAGUUAAUCUUUGAUUGGUGUACCAGUGGUGUUACACAAAGUGGUGCAACAACGCAUGAUAUACUCAACAAGUUACAACCUCAUCCAAAUUUAAAACAACUCUCCAUCAAACACUAUCCUGGUGAAGGAUUUCCAAAUUGGCUUGGAGAUCCUUCAGUGUUGAAUCUCGUGUCCCUUGAGCUUCGGGGUUGUGGCAAUUGCUCAACAUUGCCACCACUUGGACAGCUAACCCAGCUUAAAUAUCUGCAAAUCUCAGGGAUGAAUGGAGUAGAGUGUGUGGGUGAUGAGUUCUAUGGGAAUGCUUCCUUUCAAUUCCUAGAAACACUAUCAUUUGAGGAUAUGCAGAACUGGGAGAAAUGGUUAUGUUGUGGAGAAUUCCCUCGUCUCCAAAAGCUUUUUAUACGAAGGUGUCCCAAACUCACUGGGAAAUUACCAGAACAGCUUCUUUCAUUAGUGGAACUUCAAAUUCAUGAAUGUCCGCAACUGCUUAUGGCUUCACUCACAGUUCCUAUAAUUCGUCAGUUGAGGAUGGUGGAUUUCGGUAAACUGCAGUUGCAAAUGCCGGGUUGUGACUUCACAGCUCUUCAAACUUCAGAAAUUGAAAUUUUAGAUGUGUCUCAGUGGAGUCAACUUCCAAUGGCACCACACCAGCUCUCAAUUAGAGAAUGUGAUAAUGCGGAGUCUCUGCUAGAGGAGGAAAUCUCGCAAACCAACAUACAUGAUUGCAGUUUUUCUAGAUCUCUGCACAAAGUUGGUUUACCCACUACACUGAAAUCACUAUUCAUCUCUGAGUGCUCGAAAUUAGAGAUUCUCGUACCUGAGUUGUCCAGAUGCCAUCUCCCAGUCCUUGAAAGUCUAGAAAUCAAAGGUGGUGUUAUCGAUGAUUCUCUCACGUUAUCCUUCUCAUUAGGCAUCUUCCCCAAGUUGACUGAUUUCACAAUCGAUGGUCUUAAGGGGCUUGAGAAGCUCUCCAUUUUGGUUUCAGAGGGUGAUCCCACAUCUUUAUGUUCCCUGCGUCUAAUUGGUUGCUCUGAUCUUGAAUCUAUCGAAUUGCACGCUCUCAACUUGGAGUCUUGUUUGAUUGAUAGGUGCUUCAACCUUAGGUCGUUGGCACACACACACUCAUAUGUACAGGAGUUGAAAUUAUGGGCUUGUCCAGAAUUGUUGUUUCAGAGAGAGGGUUUGCCUUCCAACCUACGUAAACUUGAAAUUGGCGAGUGCAACCAACUCACGCCCCAGGUGGAGUGGGGUUUGCAAAGGCUGACCUCUCUUACUCAUUUCACAAUCACCGGUGGAUGUGAAGACAUUGAAUUAUUUCCCAAGGAGUGUUUGCUGCCCUCUUCUCUGACUUCUCUUCAAAUAGAAAUGCUUCCCAAUCUCAAGUCUCUUGACAGCGGGGGUCUUCAACAGCUCACCUCUCUAAAACGAUUAGAUAUUUAUGGAUGCUCGAGGCUCCAAUCAUUGACAGAAGCGGGUCUUCAACACCUCACCUCUCUUGAAACGUUGUGGAUCGCACACUGCCCAGUGCUCCAAUCAUUGACAGAAGCGGGUCUUCAACACCUCACCUCUCUUGAAACGUUGUGGAUCCUAGACUGCCCAGUGCUCCAAUCAUUGACAGAAGCGGGUAUUCAACACCUCACCUCUCUUGAAACGUUAGUGAUCGAAAACUGCCCAAUGCUGCAAUCCUUGACAAAAGUGGGUCUUCAACACCUCACCUCUCUUAAAGCAUUGUAUAUCAAAAACUGUUGUAAGCUCAAAUACUUGACAAAAGAAAGACUUCCAGACUCCCUCUCUCUUCUGAGGAUCUCCGAGUGUCCUUUACUGGAAAAACGGUGUCAAUUUGAGAAAGGGAAAGAAUGGCGUUAUAUAGCUCACGUUCCAAAAAUAAUGAUCAAUGGUGUGCUAUAUUAAUCAAAGUGCCACUCCGCCAAUAUAGAGUCAGGUAAUUCCUUUGCGCUUGAACUUUUCUUUCAAGUUCCAAUUCAUUCGCUAGUCCUAUUUAUUUGAUUUAAGAUUUUCUUUUUCUUGAAGCUUCAAGCCUGAAACAAAUAUUGAACACAUUUUCAUGCUCUAUUUUUAUUUGGUGGUUUGCAAGAAUUAAAUGAACCAUUUAUAACUAUUGAAAAAUUAAGAAAAAAAUAACGUAAGAACCAUGGAUAUUUUGUUUGUUUUUUUUUCUAGGAAUUUUUUUUUAAAAUUUCUUAUAUACAGGCACAAGAACAACUCUACGACAUAUUCUAGUUAGCUGCCUUAUUAGCAAGUCAUUCAAAUUGCUUUGUUUUUUUCUUGCUUCAAUAUAUCAAAUUUUAUGGACAACUUUAAUGACUUGAAUUUCAAUGCUUUUAAAUAAUUUUAUUCACAAUUUCAUGUGUUUGAUUAAACUCAUUUAAUUGAAAUUAAACACGUUUAAAUUAUCGAUUUGACAACAUCUAAAACAUUUUUGGUUCCUCAUAAGUGUUAAAUAAAUUUUUCCUAGAUUUUUGUUUUUCCCUCAAUUUUCCGAUAAACAAUCAAACAAGAGAAAAAGUUUACAAUUUUUUUCCCUACUUUCCCGUAAACUUUCUGAGAACCAAAAUAGUUUUAUAAUUUCUAAUUUUAAAAAAUUAUCAAAUCAAACUAAUCGUCAUUUUUUGUGUUUUUUGUCUUUUCAUUUCAGUGAUCAUUGUAAGUAAUCAGGAUGAGCAUAAAAGAUUUCUUAUGAUAAACAAAGUUUCGAUUAUGACCAUGGAAGAAACAUGUAAGGUAAACAACGAUAAUUUUAUGCCAAUGUUUUUUAGAUAUGAGAUCAUUUAGAAUUCAUGUGAAGUAUUUUAUGAUACUUGAGUUAGUCAAAUUUUUUAGAUGUUUGAACUCUCCUUUGGUUCAGCAGCUUGCAGUGAUUGGACGGCCAUGUAAAAUGUGCUCUAACCAAGUGGACUUCUGCAAAAGGUAAGCAAUAGGCAUAAAUCUCUUCUUGAGACAGUUGAUGCACUUAUUUUUGUCUCAAUUUUGAUGAUAUUUUCUUCAUGUUAUGACUUUUGCAAGGAAGUGGAAUAUGAAGAAAGAUAGAUUGUUCAGAUUUUCCCUGUAGAGGAAGGGAGAUUCCUGGGUGCUCAACACUUGAUGCUCAUUGCUCUGUUCAAGAAGACUAAGAAACUCAGAGGUAUAAGGUUCAUCUCCCUAUAAUUAUCUCUAAAAUUUUUUAUUAUUUCAUUUAUACAUUAAUCAAUUGAAGAGAUUCGGAUCCUCUUCUGUUAAAUAUCUACUUGUGUGGGAUUUUUGAUUUCAGGAUCAGUUUCAGAAAUUGCUGCUUGGCCCAUGGGAAGGUUAACAAUCCCCUCAACUGUGAAACAGUUUUUGAUGAGGUUGGCUAAAUGAUCAAAUUCCACCAGUUCACUAUGAUUUAUACUGUAACAUGAUCAUUGGUAUAAACCCUAAAGUUCUUAUAUAAAUGCUGAGAAUCUUCUAUUGGGCCCUAAUGGAUUAUGGAAGUUGUGUAAUUUUGGAAGCACCUCCACCAAUCAUAAGCACUUUAAGAAGCCUGAAGAAAUGGGCAUUGAAGAAGACAAUAUCAGAAAGUACAGUACACCUGCAUAUACAGCUCCCGAGGUUGAAUGGAAAACUAUGUUUUUUGAUAAGUUAGUGCUUUUGGUUGAAAAAAUGUCGACUCCCAGUUUCUUCCUUUUCCUUUAUAGGAGGAAACCUAUAAAUGAGAAAGUAGACAUUUGGGUAAGUCAGUUGUACUUUAUUUUUCUUCAAUAAGUCUGGGGUAUAAUUUGCCUCUUGUGAAGUUUCCUGUGCUUUUCAAUACAACCAAAACCUGAAGUUUACCUUUUUGUACCCAUUCAUGUGUCUGAUAGGUUUUCUUCUCAUAACAGCACAGAGAAAAGAUUGAAGCAACAGACUGGGAACUCCAGCAAAGAAAAUCCGUUUCCCCUGGCCCAGACUCUGAUCUUUGGCAGGCUUUCUCUGAGGCAGGUGCCCAGACAACAAUAGCAAGUCUGUUAGGACCCAAAAUGGCCAUCACAACAAACCAGCCACAGAAGGAACUUCUGGCCCUGAAACUUGGGGUUUUGGAACAGAGAGUUUUACAGCCACCCCUGCUGCCGCCUCUAAUAUUUCCAGACCCUCCAUUGGAGGCAAUAAUGGCCAACUGUUUGUUGACUCAAAGAAGAUUGAGGGCAAGCUGGCUACUCAACCUGCUGAAUGGGCUGGUUUCUAACUUAUUUGGUGAGGUUAUAUCAUCCUGGGCAGUUCUGGCCAUAAGAGAUGGGAAUAGGUAAAAAAGGCAAAACAAAAAGGGAUUCAUGGCUUUCUGGGCAUGAUUAUGCU